ACACAUUAGAAACCUAAUAAAAAAACCACAUCUGACCAAAAGCACAUUAGAAACCUAAUAAAAAAACCACAUCUGACCAAAAGCGUCGUUCCCCCCUCACCCAUCUUCUUUUUCCUCACUUCUAACCUAAAAACACAAAAAAAAUCAAGACCCUCAUCUCUAUCCUGGCAACGGCACAGACCCCCCACCUCUUCUUUUCCAUUCCCUCGUUACCCUCACUCAACACUCAAUCACACACACAUACACGCCUGGACUACUGAGAGAAGAAGUUUGCACUUCAAAAUUUAAGAUCUAGAAAACUAAAAAAAAAUCGAAAAAAGGGAUUAAAAGGUUGUUUGAAUUUUGCUUCAUGGCUUUAUCGUUUCUGACUUUACAAGACUUUUUUCUAGUUAUAUGUUUGCUGGUUUGUUGCUGCUUCCGCUGGUGGAUCUCACUCUUUAUUCCAGACCUUGCUUGGUCAUUUAGUGUUAUUUUUACAGCUUCUAGGUAUGUAAAUUCUCACAUAUUCUCCUCUACUUGAGUCUAUGGUUUAAAUUUCGGAUUGCUCAUAUUGAGUUCGUGAUUGUUUACUCAGAUUUUGAUUGUGUUAAUUGCUUAUGGAUUGACUAUAUUUGAAUGUUUAGUAUACCUAUUCAAUUGUGGUAUUGUAAAAUGUCCUCUUCUGUUGCGCCAAUUGAUUGAUAUUGGCUCAUAUAAUGCUUAGGUCUAAUUUGCCGUUUAUGUAUAAUUACUGUGCGUUUUCAUUGUUAUUUUGAAUGAAGAUUGUUAUAUUCAAAAAGGUCUUCUUUGAUUUAUGAUUCAAAUAGCGCUAAGCAUAUGAGUUUCAUCGCCUCAAUUUAUUCAUCUGUUUUCUUGGAGUUAUGUACUUCUUUUAUGAAUUCCACUGAAAUCUUUUGGAUAAGUUCAUAUUAAUCGUUUGCUACUUUGGAUUAAGUGGCAUGCUUGCUUGAUACAAUUAUUAGAUUGGUGUAUUAAAUUAAUAUGGCAAUAAGUUUUGUUUAGCUAAUUGGAUUUUGUGAGUUGAUUUGUUAUAUUUGGAUUGGUUUGUGUUUGAUAAGCUUCAAGAGGAAUUGGGCAUGAACGUAAUGCUAGCCUUUUAUCCACAUUUAUUUCAUAAUUGUAAUAGUCAAAUCUUACACCUACCCACAAAUUACCUCCAUAAUUCGUGGCCUUACAAUAAUCUCAAAGUAGGAAGAACAAUCUUAUGAAUAUCGUAGUUUGCUAUAGGCGCGAUUAAUAAUGAUUUAUCGUGGCGAUGGGUACGGUUCCCGUGGCAUGGUCACGAUACAUAAUUCCAAAUUCGGGUGUGCAUUUCAUGUGACCCGACCACAACUUCGAAAAAUAAUAAAAAUGAACAUGUUGUAAAUCGCGGGUGCAUUUCAUGUGAUACGGUUUGCAAUGUGUACCAACACGAUAAGUGUACGACAAUCGUGGCUUGUUCUAGAAAUAAAUCCAUAAAUAAAUAAUAGCGGUUAAAAUGUUAAAAAUGCAUAAUAGGUUUAAAACAUGUAAUAAAUCAGAUAAUGAGGCCAAUUAUUAAUAGUUGAGCGACAGUGCUAAAACCACGAAACCCGGGAAUGCCUAACACCUUCUCCCGGGUUAACAGAAUUACUUACCCGGUCUUCAGUGUACGCGGACCAUAAAUAAGAGUCAAAUUUUCUCGAUUUGGGAUUUAAAAUAAACCGGUAACUUGGGAAACCAUAAAUUAUUCCAAGUGGUGACUCUAAAAUUAAAUAAAUAAUCCCAUUUCGAUUUAUGUCACUUUAAUUGGAAAAACUCCCUUAUACCCCUUAUUGGGUAAAAAGGAGGUGUGACAGCUCUGGCUACUCCGCUGAGGAAAUGAACCCAGAACAUCUGGUUCAAGGUUAAGAAUUCGAGCUUAGAAAUGUUAUAGUUGGCUUUUAUCUAUUAUCUGAUUUUUAUAUGUUUGAGCCUAAUGUGCUCAAUGCUACUUUUUACUGCUUUGAUAUUGUUUUAACUGUAUAUAAAACUGUCACGAAACCCUUCUUCUCUCUGAGUCUUCUAAAUCUUCUGGGAAGCGUGAGCUUCGCGUGACUUCUUUUCUGUUAGAGUCAUAUCCUAAUUUUAGAACGAGGUUCAGAUAAGUUGCAAAGCCGAUGAAGCUUCUGUAUUCCCGGUACUCUGCCCUCCCCCCUCCGGCUUGAGCUAUCAGCUCGAGUAAGCCAAGUCUAGAACAAUACACCCAGGUUUUAAACCUAGAAUGACAUAGCCUCAUGCUGGAUUCCUAGUAGGAACGCUUGUUUGCAUCACGUGCAUUUGACUUUGGAGACUCAACACAGGGGUUGGGUCCGUCUAGGACAAGUGUACCCAAAAAUUUAAAGACCAUCUUGAUGCAUCCUACGUGCUACUUGCGCAUCUAUUUGUUUCGGCUUGCAUGUUGACCGGCUUCUAGAAUAAGGAAGGAAAAUCAAAAAAAAAUAUUCAAAAAAAAAAAGAGUGAGAGGUAGGUAUUUGGAAAAUUCUGAAACUCUGCCAAAAUUUUGAAAAAAAAAAGAGAAAUAAAAUAAGCCAAAGUUAUCAAAAGUCAUGAUUCCCUGUUCCGUCAAAAUUGACCGAACUACGCGGGUCUGAUUCUCACCGGAUGUGAGAUACAUAGGCAAACCUAAUCGGUUCUGGCCCAUUUUUUUUAAAAAAAUCCAAAAUUUUUUUCUCUUAAUUCCUUCUUUAGAAGCAUUUCCUUAGAAAAUUACAAAAAAAAAAAAAAGAUUUUUAAACUAAAAAAGUAGUUUCCUUCUUUCUGAAGUCUUUCAUAUGGAAAAAAAGGAAAAGAAAAGUCAAUCAAAAAUCAAAAUCCAGAAUAUGAGUUUCCUUUAUUUUGAAGUAUUUUUCUCAAAAAUCCAAAAAAAUUAGAACCAAAAAAAAUAAUCCAAAAAAAUAUAUUCUUUUUCCUUUUUUAAAAGUCUUUCUUUCGUAAAUGUCAAAACAAAAAUUAAAAAAUUGAAGUCCAAUAAUAUUUUCAUUUAGAAGUACUUUUGUAAAUUUAAAAACAAAAAACUCAGAAAUCCAAAAUAUUUUCCUUAAAAGUCCCUCUUUCAAAAAUUAAGAGCGACAUCCAAAAUNNNNNNNNNNNNNNNNNNNNNNNNNNNNNNNNNNNNNNNNNNNNNNNNNNNNNNNNNNNNNNNNNNNNNNNNNNNNNNNNNNNNNNNNNNNNNNNNNNNNNNNNNNNNNNNNNNNNNNNNNNNNNNNNNNNNNNNNNNNNNNNNNNNNNNNNNNNNNNNNNNNNNNNNNNNNNNNNNNNNNNNNNNNNNNNNNNNNNNNNNNNNNNNNNNNNNNNNNNNNNNNNNNNNNNNNNNNNNNNNNNNNNNNNNNNNNNNNNNNNNNNNNNNNNNNNNNNNNNNNNNNNNNNNNNNNNNNNNNNNNNNNNNNNNNNNNNNNNNNNNNNNNNNNNNNNNNNNNNNNNNNNNNNNNNNNNNNNNNNGUAAAGUAAACAAAUGGAAGUUCACCCCUCGGCCACAGUAUCAACAAAUCCGCCCCUCGGGCAACAUCUCAGAACAAUACCAGCCCUUCGGGCUCAAUCUCACAUCACAAUGGGUACCCGCACUAACUGGGGUGUACAGACUCCUAGAAGGGCCCCUUAUGGCCCAAGCGCAAUAUCAAGCCACCUCGUGGCAUCAUCACUAGGCCCUCGGCCUCAUAUCAAUCAAGCCACCUCGUGGCGUACAUAUCUCACGCCCUCGGCCUCAUAAUCAGUAUCAAAUGUCUCCUCACAACAUAGGCCCUCGGCCUUACUCAAUCAAAAAUCCUCACAAGCCACUCGGGCUAUAGUAAAACAGUGUUUCUCGGCCCAAACAUCAUUUAAAAUAUCAUUUAUGUAUUAAAACUGAGUAAACAUGGCCGAAUACGAAAACAGUGGAAAAUAACAUGACUGAGUUCAAGUAUAUAGUCAAAACAGUGAGGAAAUAUCAAUAAAAAUCCCUGAAGGGUUCAAAUAGUUGGCACGAAGCCCAAAUAUGACAUUCAGCCCAAAUCAUGAUGAUAGCAAAUAGAUUUCAACCAAAUACGCGGUAAAAUAGCAUUCGGGAUGGACUAAGUGACAAUCCCCAACAGUGCACGACCCCUCUCUCGUCAUCCAGCGUGUGCCUCACCUCAAUAUAGCACUAAGAUAUGCAAAACCGGGGUUUCAACCCCUCAGAACAUCAUUUACAAUCAUUACUCAUCUCGAACUGGUAAAAUCUCUAUCUCGCGAUGCCUUUGCCCCUCGAACGAGCCUCCACUCGCGUCGAAUCUAUCGAAAAUCAGAACGAGGAUGUCAAAAUAAGCUAAGGGAACGAAGCCCAAGCGAAAACAAUCAAUAAAUGGCCCAAAUCCCGAAAUUACCAAAAUCCGACCCCCGGUCCCACAUCUCGGAAUUCAAUAAUUUUUACUUCAAUACGUUCCUUAUCUCCCCACGAGUUCAUACAUAUCAAAAGUUCUGAAAUCCGACCUCAAAUGGUCCUUCAAAUCCUCAAUUAAAGGCCUAAAUUCCCAAGCCCUAGUUUCCCCAAUUUUCACCCUUAAUUUCCAUGAUUUCUAGCCGUAAUCCAUGAAAUAAAAACAUAGUAACGAGCUUUAGGUCCAAAUUCCUUACCUCAAUGAAGUUCCCUUGAAAUCCCUCUUUCAAAUCACCCAAAAAGCUCCCAAGCUGAGAUAAAUAUGGUGAAAUAGCUCAAAAUUCGUGAACGCUACAAUUUAUACCUUCUGCCCAGUCAUUUUUGCAUCUGUGGCACAAUACCCGCUUUUGCGGUACCGCAUUUGCGGUUAUUUCUCCGCUUCUGCAGAUAUCACUUAGCUUAUGAUUUUUCCGCUUCUGCGAUCCCUCAUUCGCAUCUGCGAUAUCGCAGAUGCGGUCCAUCUCACCGCUUCUACGGUUCCUGACCGCCUCAUCAUUUUCUGUCUUCUACAGCUGCUCUUCUGCACGUCCGGUGUCGCACCUGCGGUCCCCAAUCCNNNNNNNNNNNNNNNNNNNNNNNNNNNNNNNNNNNNNNNNNNNNNNNNNNNNNNNNNNNNNNNNNNNNNNNNNNNNNNNNNNNNNNNNNNNNNNNNNNNNNNNNNNNNNNNNNNNNNNNNNNNNNNNNNNNNNNNNNNNNNNNNNNNNNNNNNNNNNNNNNNNNNNNNNNNNNNNNNNNNNNNNNNNNNNNNNNNNNNNNNNNNNNNNNNNNNNNNNNNNNNNNNNNNNNNNNNNNNNNNNNNNNNNNNNNNNNNNNNNNNNNNNNNNNNNNNNNNNNNNNNNNNNNNNNNNNNNNNNNNNNNNNNNNNNNNNNNNNNNNNNNNNNNNNNNNNNNNNNNNNNNNNNNNNNNNNNNNNNNNNNNNNNNNNNNNNNNNNNNNNNNNNNNNNNNNNNNNNNNNNNNNNNNNNNNNNNNNNNNNNNNNNNNNNNNNNNNNNNNNNNNNNNNNNNNNNNNNNNNNNNNNNNNNNNNNNNNNNNNNNNNNNNNNNNNNNNNNNNNNNNNNNNNNNNNNNNNNNNNNNNNNNNNNNNNNNNNNNNNNNNNNNNNNNNNNNNNNNNNNNNNNNNNNNNNNNNNNNNNNNNNNNNNNNNNNNNNNNNNNNNNNNNNNNNNNNNNNNNNNNNNNNNNNNNNNNNNNNNNNNNNNNNNNNNNNNNNNNNNNNNNNNNNNNNNNNNNNNNNNNNNNNNNNNNNNNNNNNNNNNNNNNNNNNNNNNNNNNNNNNNNNNNNNNNNNNGCUUUUGCGGUACCGCAUUUGCGGUUAUUUCUCCGCUUCUGCAGAUAUCACUUAGCUUAUGAUUUUUCCGCUUCUGCGAUCCCUCAUUCGCAUCUGCGAUAUCGCAGAUGCGGUCCAUCUCACCGCUUCUACGGUUCCUGACCGCCUCAUCAUUUUCUGCUUCUACAGCUGCUCUUCUGCACGUCCGGUGUCGCACCUGCGGUCCCCAAUCUGUAGGUGCGGAAAUACCAGAAGAGUAAAGUUCAACAACUGUAACAAGGUUUCAAACUCCCCGUCAACCAUUCAAAAUCAUCCCAAGGCCCCCAGACCUCAACCAAAAGCACAAACAUAUCCUAAUACCUUAUUCGAACUUGUUCCAAUCAUCGAAGUAUCUCAAACAACAUCAAAUCACCCAAAACAAAUUAAAUUCAAGCCAAACUUUCUAAAAUCUUCUGAAUUUCACUUUUGAUCCAAAAACCCAACCAAACCACGUCCGAAUGACCUGAAAUUUUGCACGUACAUCCCAAAUGACACAACGGAAUUACUACAACUUUCGGAAUUCUAUUCUGACCCAUAUAUCAAAAUCUCGCCUACCAACCGGAAAUCGCCAAAAUAUCAAAUUCGCAAAUUCAAGCCUAAAUCUACUCUGAACCUCCAAAACUCAUUCUGAUCAUGCUCCUAAGACAUAAAUCACCUCCCGAAGCUAACCGAACCAUCGAAACUCACAUCCGAGCCCUCUAACAGAUAAGUCAACAUCCUGUUGACUUUUUUCAACUUAAGCUUACUUAAAAGAGACUAAGUGUCUCAAACCUUACCAAAAUCAUUCCGGAUUCGAUCCGACCAACUCGAUACCACAUAACACGGAUAAACAAAACAUAAGGAAAGCAGAAAUGGGGGAAACACAUCGGUAACUCAUGAGACGACUGGCUGGGUCAUCACAUCCUCCCCAACUUAAACAAAUGUUCAUCCUCGAACGAGUCAAGACACAUACCAGAAGCCUCAAACAGGUGAGGAUAUCUGCUCCGCAUCUCCUGCUCGGUCUCCCAGGUAGCCUCCUCCACGGGCCGACCUCUCCACUGCACUUUCACUGAAGCUAUAUCUUUCGACCUUAACUUUCGAACCUGACGACCCAAAACAGCUACUGACUCCACAUCAUAAGUCAAAUUAUCAUCCAACUGAACCGUGAUGAAAUCCAAAACAUGAGACAGAUCCCCAAUAUACUUCCAGAGCAUAGAAACAUGAAAUACCGGAUGCACACUCGAUAAGCUGGGUGGCAAGGCAAGCUCAUAAGCCACCUCUCCAAUCCUCCGAAGCACCUCAAAAGGCCUAAUCAACCGAGGACUCAAUUUCCCCUUCUUCCCAAAUCUCAUAACACCCUUCAUGGGCGAAACCUUAAACAGAACCUUCUUACCAACCAUGUAGGACACAUCUCAAACCUUCCUAUCAGCAUAACUCUUUUGUCUCGACUGCGCUGUACGAAGCCUCUCCUAAAUCACCUUCACCUUUUCUAAGCAUCCUACACCAAAUCUGUCCCCAAUAGCGUAGCCUCACCGGGCUCAAACCAACCAACUGGAGAUCUACACCGCCUCUCAUACAAAGCCUCAUAUGGAGCCAUCUGAAUACUCGCCUGGUAGCUGUUGUUAUAAGCAAACUCUGCAAGCGAUAGAAACUAAUCCCAUGACCCUCCGAAAUCAAUGACACAAACAUGCAACAUGUCCUCCAAUAUUUGAAUAGUGCGCUGGGACUGCCCGUCCGUCUAAUGGUGAAAAGUUGUGCUCAACUUAACCUGAGUACCCAACUCUCACUGCACAGACCUCCAAAACUUCAAAGUAAAUUGAGUGCCCCUAUCUGAAAUGAUGGAAACUGGGACACCAUGCAAAUGAACAAUCUCCUGGAUAUAGAUCUCUGCCAAGCGCUUUAAAGAAUAAGUAGUACACACAUGAAUGAAGUGCGCGGACUUGGUCAGUCGAUCCACAAUCACCCAAAUAGAAUUGAACUUCCUCAAAGUCCGUGGAAGUCCAACAACAAAGUCCAUAGUGAUCAUCUCCCACUUCCACUCGGGAAUAUCCAUCUACUGAAGCAAGCCACCCGGUCUCUGAUGCUCAUAUUUCACCUACAGGAAAUUGAGAUACCGAGCUACGAAUCCCACAAUAUCUUUCUUCAUUCUCCACCACCAAUAUUGCUGCCUCAAAUCCUGAUACAUCUUCACGACACCCGGAUGAAUGGAAUACCGCGAGCUAUGGGCCUCCUCAAGGAUCAACUCCCUAAGCCUAUCCACAUUGGGCACACAGAUCCGGCCCUGCAUCCUCAACACCCCAUCAUCUCCAAUGGUCAUGUCUCUAACAUCAUCAUGCUAAACUCUGUCCUUAAGGACAAACAAGUGUGGAUCAUCAUACUGGCGCUCUCUGAUGCGAUCAUAUAAGGAAGACCGAGAAACCACACAAGCCAUUACUCGACUUGGCUCCGAAAUAUCUAACCAUAUGAACCGAUUGGCCAAGGACUAAACAUCAACUGCAAGAGGUCUCUCCCCAACUGGAAUAUAUGCCAAACUCCCCAUACUCACUGCCUUUCGGCUCAAGGCAUCGGCCACCACAUUGGCCUUUUCAGGAUGGUAUAAUAUAGUGAUAUCAUAAUACUUAUGCAACUCCAACCAUCUCUUCUGUCUCAAAUUAAGAUCCUUUUACUUGAACAAAUGUUGAAGACUACGAUGAUCAGUGAGCACCUCACAAGAUACGCCAUACAAGUAAUGCCAUCAAAUCUUCAAUGCGUGAACUAUGGAAGCCAACAUUAAAUCAUGAAUGGGGUAGUUCUUCUCAUUGGGCUUCAACUGACGAGAAGCAUAAGCAAUAAAUCUACCCUCCUGAAUCAAUACACAACCAAUUCCAACUCUCGAAGCAUCACAAUACACGGUAUAUGAACCUAAAGCUGAUGGCAAAACUAACACUGGAAUUGUAGUAAAAGUUGUCUAGAGCUUCUGAAAGCUCUCCUCACACUCGUCCGACCAUACAAAUGAAGCACCUUUCUGAGUUAACUUGGUCAAGGACGAUGCGAUAGAUGAGAAUCCUGGAAUAAAAUGGCGAUAAUAACCCGCCAAACCAAGAAAGCUGUGAAUCUUUGUGGCUGAGGACGAUCUAGGACAACUCUGAGCCACCUUUAUCUUCUUCAAAUCAAUCUGAAUACCCUCAUUGGACACCACGUGCCCCAAGAAAGCCACUGAACUGAGCCAAAACUCACACUUGGAGAAUUUUGCAUAAAGCUUCUCCUCCCUCAAUCUCUGCAACAUAACUCUCAAAUGCUCCGUAUGCUCCUCCUAACUACGCGAAUAUACCAGAAUAUCAUCAAUGAAGACUAUGACAAACGAGUCAAGAUAAGGCCAGAACACACUCUUCAUCAAAUGCAUGAACGCUGCUAGGGCAUUGGUCAGCCCAAAAGACAUUACCAAGAACUCAUAAUGACCAUAUUGAGUCCUUAAUGCGGUCUUAAGAAUAUCUGAGUCCCUGAUCUUCAACUGGUGAUAACCUGAACAUAGAUCAAUCUUGCAGAACACUCUUGCUCCCUGAAGUUGGUCGAAUAAAUCAUCAAUGCGAGGAAAAGGAUACUUGUCCUUAAUUGUUACUUUGUUCAAUUGCCUAUAAUCAAUGCACGUUCUCAUAGUNNNNNNNNNNNNNNNNNNNNNNNNNUAACUUUCUUCAACUCCGCUGGUGCCAUACAAUACGGCAGAAUAGAAAUGGGCUGAGUGCCCGGUACCAGGUUAAUACCAAAAUCAAUAUCCCUAUCUGGUGGCAUGCUCGCCAGGUCAGCAAGAAACACAUCGGGAAAAUCCCUCACAACUGGAACAGAAUCAAUACUAGGAGUCUCAGUACUGACUUCCCUCACAAAGGCUAGAUACGAAAGACAACCCUUCCCAACCAUAUGCUGCGCUUUUAAGAAUAAGAUCACUCUACUGGGAACAUAAUCAGUCAUACCUUGCCACUCAAUCCGUGGCACACCCAGUAUAGCUAAUGUGACUGUCUUAGCAUGACAGUCCAGAAUAGCACAACAUAGAGAUAGCCAAUCCAUGACCAAAAUGGCAUCGAAAUCCACCAUACACAAUAAUAAAAGAUCCACACGGGUCUCCAGACCCCCAAUAGUCACCACAAACGAUCGGUACACACGAUCUACAAUAAUAGUAUCACCCACCGGGGUAGAUGCAUAAAUAGGUGAAGCAAGAAACUCACGGGUGUACCCAAAUAAUGAGCAAAGUAUGAUGACACAUAAGAAAAGGUGGAACCGAGAUCAAAUAAUACAGAGACAUCUCUGUGGCAGACUGAAACAAUACCCGUAAUAACUGCAUCUGAAGCAAUAACAUCGGGUCUACCGGGAAGUGUAUAGAAAUGGGCCUGACCACUACUUGAUCUACCUUCCACUUGGGGGUGACCCAUAACUAACUGACCUCCACCCCUAUCUGGCUGGGAAGGUAGUGGUGAAGUAACUGGCGCUAAAGCCGAUGCUUGACCCCUCUGCUGAGAUGAGCUCGCAAGAUGAUGAUGGAACUGCCUCCACAUAAGACCCAUCUUACCACACUCAUAAGAAAUCCUAAGUUCUAGAGAAGGGGACUGAAGGGAACCCCUCGCACCAGAGUGACUAGAGAUGCACUCGGCAUAGAAGAGCCCUGAACUGAUGGAGCACGGGACAAACUCUAAGCUAGAAGGGCACUAAGUGAUGACUGACCCUGAUGAGAACUAUGAGAACCAUAACACGAUGACGCCCUAUGAUAACCUGGGCGAGCUAGCUGAGCAUGCCUGAAUGGACGACCUUUGCCAUGCUGAAACUAACCCCUCAAAGGAGUACCACUGUAACUACCAGAUCCUCGAGGCCUCUUGUCCUCCCUCUCCUCGCGCUCCUAGCAACGAACACACUCAAUCUCCCGGGCAAUAUCCAUAACCUCCUCGAAAGUAGGAACAAUCACUCUCUCUGGUCAUGAUAAUACGAAGCUGAUAAGUGAGGCCAUCCACAAACCUCCUAAUCAUCUAUCUAUCUGUUGGAACCAUCCAAAUAGCAUGACGAGCUAACUCAGAGAACCUCAUCUUGUACUGCGUCACACUCAUCUCUCCUUGACGCAGCCACUCAAACUCUCUAUACAGCUCUUCUGUGCGGGACUGCGGCACAUACUUCUCCAAAAGGAGAAUGGAGAACUGCUGCUAGGUAAGGGGUGCUACACCAACAGGCCUACACCUCUCAAAAGCCUCCCACAAAGUAAACGCAGCUCCAAAAAACUGAUAGGUAGUGAAAGAGACUCCGUUGGUCUCAAGAGUACCCGCUGUACGAAGCAUCCUCUGGCACUUAUCAAAGAAACCCUGGGCAUCCUCGCCCUCUGCACUACUGAAGGUCGGAGGCUGAAGCCUACCAAACCUCUCCAAUGUACGCUACUCAUCCUCCGUCAAAGCAAGAACUACAUAGUCCUAAGCAACUGCAACCGGCUGGGCUGGAUGUGCCCCCAACAUCUGAAGUCCCUGCACGACCUGCUCAGGUGUGGGAGCGGCGGGAGUCUGAUUGCCUCCCCCAGUCUGAGAAGUAGCUGUGGCUGUAGUGGCUGAAAUCGCUUGAGCUAGGCCAGUGCAAACUACUGAUAAGAUCAGAGCCAAGGCCUCCUGAAGACUCGGAAUCACAAUGGGCACAGCUGGUGCUUAAGCUGGUGUUGAAGGAGCGUCCAUAACUGGGACCUGAUCCUGAACUGGGGCAGCUGGUGGAUCUACAGGUGCUGCCCUAGUUGCUCUGCCCCUACCAUGACCACGGUCGCGUCCUCGGCCUCUGGUGUCCACAACUGGUGGUAUUGAUGGUCGUCCAUCCUGACUGGUAGUGCGUGUCCUCACCAUCUAUGAGAGAAUAAAACAACAGAAGUUUAGUACUCGGAUCAACAAAUUCGCACGACAAGGAUUUCAAGAAUAUGAAGUUUUUCCUAAAGGUGUUGCAACCUCUCGAGGAUAAAUACAGACGUCUCUAUACCGAUCCACGAGACUCUACUAAACCUGCUCAUGACUCGUGAGACCUAUGUAACCUAGGCUCUGAUACCAACUUGUCACGACCCUAAAUCCAGACCCGGUCGUGAUGGCGCCUCUCGUGAAGACAAGGCCAACGACACUUUCCAUUUUCCAAUUAUUAACAGUUAAGCAUUUAAGAAACGGUAUAAACAUGAUAAAAUAAAUUCGAAAUAACAAUGAUAACAUAAACACGCGGAAGAACAACCAUACACAGCCCUAACCGGGGUGUCACUAGUCAUGAGCAUCUAUAAGUCAUAAUACAAAUCCGCUAAGUCAAUAAACUAGUACAACUAUCUGAAAAGAGAUAGAAGUGAUAAAGGAGUAGAGACACGGGGCUGCGGACGCCAAUAGCUACCUCGUGAACUCCGAAUAUCCGCCUGAAGCUGGAGGGAUCAGCACUCGGGAGCGGAACCAGCUACGCCUGAAUCUGCACACAGGGUGCAGGGAAUAAAGUGAGUACUCCAACUCAGUGAGUAAAAAAUGUAAAUAACAACUGAAAGUAAGAGAACAUUUAAGGCACAAUGCAUUCUAUAAUGAAGCAGUAAAAUAGUAUAAAAGCAGUAAACCAGUGAAAAGUUAAGUAACAAUCCUUUUUCAACAAGUAAACAGGUAAUUGUCAGGCAGUUAAGGUAAAGUAAAUAAAUGGAAGUUCGCCCCUUGGACACAGUAUCAACAAAUUCGCCCCUCUGGUGACAUCUUAGAACAAUACCAGCCCCUCGGGCUCAAUCUCACAUCACGAUGGGUACCCACACUCACUGGGGGUGUAUAGACUCCUGGAGGGGACCCUUAUGGCCCAAGCGCAAUAUCAAGCCACCUCGUGGCAUCAUCACUAGGCCCUCGGCCUCAUAUCAAUCAAGCCACCUCGUGGUGCACAUAUCUCAGGCCCUCAGCCUCAUAAUCAGUAUCAAAUGUCUCCUCACAACAUAGGCCCUCGGCCUUACUCAGUGAAAUAUCCUCACAAGCCACUCGGGCUAUAGUAAAAAAGUGUUUCUCAUCCCAAAACAUCAUUUAAAAUAUCCUUUAAGUAUUAAAACUGAGCAAACAUGGCUGAGUAUGAAAACAGUGAAAAAUAACAUGACUUAGUUCAAGUAUAUAGUAAAAACAGUGAGGAAAUAUCAAUAAAAAUCCCCGAAGGGUUCAAAUAGUUGGCACGAAGCCCAAAUAUGGCAUGAAGCCCAAAUAUGGCAUUCAGCCCAAAUCAUGAUGAUGGCAAAUAGAUUUCAGUCAAAUACGAGGUAAAAUAGUCAUUCGGAACGGACUAAGUCACAAUCCACAAUAGUGCAUGACCCCACACUCGUCAUCCAGCGUGUGCCUCACCUCAAUAUAGAACUAUGAUGUGCAAAUCCGGUGUUUCAAACCCUCAGAACAUCAUUUACAAUCAUUACUCACCUCGAACCUAUCAAAUCUCAAGCUCGCGACGCCUUUACCCCUCGAAUCAGCCUUCCCUCACGUCGAAUCUAUCCAAAAUUAGAAUGAGGACAUCAAAAUAAGCUAAGGGAACGAAGCCUAAGCGAAAACAAUCAGUAAAUAGCACAAAUCCCAAAAUUACCAAAACCCGACCCCCGGGCCCACGUCUCUAAAUUCAAUAAUUUUUUCAUCAAUAGAUUCCUUAUCUCCCUACGAGUUCAUACAUAUCAAAAGUUCUGAAAUCCGACCUGAAAUGGUCCUUCAAAUCCUCAAUUAAAGACCUAAAUUCCCAAGCCGUAGUUUCCCCGAUUUUCACCCUUAAUUUCCAUGAUGUAUAGCCUUAAUCCAUGAAAUAAUAACAUAGGAACAAGCUUUAGGUCCAAAUUCCUUACCUCAAUGAAGUUCACUUGAAAUCCCUCUUUCAAUUCGCCCAAAAAGCUCCCAAGCCGAGAUAAAUAUGGUGAAAUAGCUCAAAAUUCGCGAAGGCUACAAUUUAUACCUUCUGCUCAGUCAUUUUUGCAUCUGCGGCACAAUACCCACUUCUGCGGUACCGCACUUGUGGAUAUUUCUCCGCUUCUGCGGAUAUCACUUAGCUUAUGAUUUUUCCGCUUCUGUGAUCCUUCAUCCACAUCUGCGACAUAGCAGAUGCGGUCCAUCUCACCACUUCUACGGUUCCUAACUCCCUCAGCAUUUUCCACUUCUGCGGCUCCUCUUCUGCACAUGCGGCGUCAUACCUGCGGUCCCCAAUCCGCAGGUGCGGAAAUACCAUAAGAGCAAAGUUCAGCAGCUGCAACAAGGUUUUAAACUCACCGUCAACCAUCCGAAAUCAUCCCGAGGCCCCCGGGACUUCAACCAAAAGCACAAACAUAUCCUAAUACCUUUUUCGAACUUGUUCCAAUCAUCAAAAUACCUCAAACAACAUCAAAUCACCCAAAACACAUCAAAUUCAAGCUAAACUUUCUAAAAUCUUCCGAAUUUUGCUUUUGAUCCAAAAACCCAACCAAACCACAUUCGGAUGACCUGAAAUUUUGCACGCACAUCCCAAAUGACCCAACGGAAUUACUGUAACUCUCUGAAUUCCAUUCCGACCCCUAUAUCAAAAUCUCGCCCACCAACUAGAAAUUACCAAAAUAUCAACUUUGUCAAUUCAAGCCUAAAUCUACUGCGAACCUCCAAAACUCAUUUCGAUCACGCUCCUAAGUCACAAAUCACCUCCCUAAGCUAAAUGAACCAUCAGAACUCACAUCCGAGCCCUCUAACACAUAAGUCAAUAUCCACUUGACUUUUUUCAACUUAAGCUUACUCAAAAGAGACUAAGUGUCUCAAACCUUACCAAAAUCAUUUCGGAUUCGAUCCGACCAACCCAAUACCACAAAACACGGAUAAACAAAACAUAAGGAAAGCAGAAAUGGGGGAAACGGAGCGGUAACUCAUGAGACAACUAGCCAGAUCGUCAGACAAUCCCUAUCAGAUUCGAUAAUAUUAAUUGAGUAAAAAGUAAACUGAAAAAAAAAGAAAAAUUGAGUGGAAAAAAAAGAGAAAAGAAAAAAGUGAAAAAAAAGAAAGAAAAAAGAGAGUGACAAAAAAUAAAAGAGUGACAAAAGAAAAGAAAAGAGAGUCCUAAAAAAUAAAAGAGCGACAGAAAUGAAAUGGAAAAAAAGUCAAGAUUGAUUAAAGAGAGGCAAAAAUAAAAGAAGAGAGGUACAUACUGAAAGAGGUUCGUUAAGGUCGCGAUGAAACAUGCAACCGUUCAAACACAAGGUAGAAGUAUUUAACUGUUAGGUGCAUUGCAUCCCAACAUGCGAUUUCCUAUAUGUUAAAUGUCUCAAAACUAACAAGGUUGUGGUGUGAUCAAAUUAGCUAGGUUCUGUUCAGGUGGUUGGUUUUGCUGGUAUGCGAUGAUGAACGCGCAACCUUGCACACGGCCACAACAUUAUACACAAAACCGAACUCCACCUCCCAGAAAUGCCUAUCCUUACCAAGCUCCAUAUAAUCCCUAAUCAAAUGUUCCCUAGUACAAUCCUCACCCAAGAGAGCCUUUCAAAAUGAAUCACUUCACCCCUAUUUGGGAAUCAUACUCGGGCUUGUUCCAAAAGCUAGUCAGGCGAGGUUUGCUGUAGCUAGUGGCCCCAAACCGGCCAAAGCCCGAGUUUCGCUCGCAUCGAGCUGAUGCUAGAUGUAAAUACCACUCUGGAGCAGUGGGACACAAUACAGAGGAUUGUUAGAUCCUCAAAAGGGAAGUUGAAAACUUGAUUGAAGCUGAAAGAAUCAUUCUCCGAGACGAAGAGGCUCCUGAUGUGAUGAACCAUCUGUUUCCUGCUUACCAUGAGGAAUUCGAUCCGGCACUGAAGGCCAUUGUAUCCAUCGCCAAGACAGAAGAAAAGCAAAAUGGCCGCCAAGCCUAAAAGUUCCCUAUCAGAUGAGAAUCUUGGUAGCAAGUCUUGCUAUACUUUCUGCGUCCGGAUUAUCUCGGGGUGUGAUCCUAAUGUUUUACUUUAUUAUCUUACUUUCCGAUGUAAACCCUUCUAUUUUUAAAAUUAAAAAAAAACACAAAAAAAUCAAAUAAAAUUAAUAUUUCAUCGUCUAGGAAUUUCUUUUUUCUUAAUCUUGUCACUUUUCUUAUUCUCUUUUUAGUUCUGUUAAAAUGAAAAUUUCAAUCACAUGACAUGCUUGCGGACUUCAUGCCCGUAUCCUAAAACAUUGUUAGACCUCGAAAUAAUGAAUCAAGAAUUAGAUUGCAAUGAAGAUAAGUUCAAGGAAAUAAAACAAAGAGUUGGAACAGCUUCAGGAAAAUUGGUUCCAGAUUGGAAAGGUCCAUACAUCGCAACAAGAGUACUGCCAAAAGAGUGCAUUGUACUUGGGACACAUCAAAGGAAAUGUCCCUAAAACAACUGUCAAUGCAAAUGCAGCCAAAAGGUACUAUGUUUGAUCCUUCAUAUAGUAUUAAUAUUCUCCGGUUGGGAUGACGAAGGCUUUCAUUCUCACUACCCAAACACCAUUAACCCUUUUGUAAACUAUUUGAGCUGGUUACUCUUCUUUAAUUACCCUCUUUGGAACCUAAAAAUGUUAUUGAAAAAAAAAUAAAAAAGGAGAAGAAAAGAACAAUAAAAAAAGAAGAAAAGACAAAGAAAAUGAAAAAAAAGAUAGGAAAAAGGAAACAAAAAAGAACGAGAAAAAAAAGAAAAUCAAAAACAAAGUUCCCUGAACUAUGUUUGACUUGAUUCCGAAAGGAUACGUAGGUAGCCUCUCUCUGGGGUUCAGUCACACCAAAAUAAAAAUCUAGAUUCCCAAAAAAAUAGAAGCUGAAACUGGGGCAGAAGUUAUAAUGGUUUGGCGAUGGUUUUCGCCUGAAAGGUUCCAAAGUUGUAAUUCAAUCCAAAUUCUUUUUAUCCCAAAUCCUAUUCAAGUCCUUCCGACCAAUAGAUAAAGAUUUCCAAUUGGAGGAUAUAGUUACUUGGACCUGAUACAACCAAAUGAGAGAAAUAAAAUGAGAGAGUCUUAUUGGUGAAAACCCACACGAGCACCGUGAGGCGACAGUAAACAGAGAAAAUAAAAAUGAGAGAGUCUUGUUAGUGAAAACUUGUAAAGAGCACUAUAAGGCGAUGGUGAGAAGAGAAAUGAGAGAGGUCAGCUCGUGAAAACCCGCAAAGGGCGCCCCUGAUCGAAAAGAGGAUCCUCAUAGCCAUCAGCAUCGACAGAGUCCUGGCAAGGUUUCUCAGAUUUUGAGGCAAAAGUUGUGAUGAAUUUUUGAAAGUCGGAUGAUUUACACAGAUCAGGCAUCCAGUCCAAAAGGUAUGUCAUAUUCAUUAAAGUCCGCAUGUACUCCAGAUAAGUCCUUCUUUCCUUUACCCAAAAGGGACACUUCUUGUUUUAAACUCAUUCUCCAUUCCAUUGUUUGUUUUCUUUGAAUCUCUUUCGGUCUAAAUCUGUUCCGAAACUAAGACAAACAAAGGAUGGUAAGACUGAUUUACAUGGUUCUCAUUUGAUACAAGUCAAUAUGCAAAAGUCACCAGUCUCGGGAGGGGCAUCAAGUCGACCUCGACUGGCCAUAGUGGCUGAUGUUUUGAAAUUGAAAACUCUUGGAAGGAGAAAAUCAAAUUGAAGUGCCUAUAAAAAAAUAAAGUUGAAAAGGUUGUGUCCCAUGCAGCUAACUAUUCCGGCAAAGGUUUGAAAAGCCAAGGUACCCCAAAUGCUUUGAAACUGAAAUUGGAAGAAAGAAACUAGAAAUGAAAGCCUACAAAGGCGAAAUAAAGUUGAAAGGUUAAGUCCUACACAACUAACCGUUGCAGCUAAGUUUGAGGAGCCAAAAGUUUCCCAAUGCUCCGAAGUUUUUAUAAAAAAAGAAAGAAAAGAAAAAACGAUGAAGAAGAAAAAUAACAAGUCAGAAAAGAAAGGCCUAGAAGGAAAAAUAAAGUCGAAAAAUUUGAGUUCCACCGACCAACCGUCAUGGCAAAGUCUGGAAAAACUAGAGGUUCUCCAAGGCCUGAAAUAAAAUCGGUCCUCAGGGAACAAGCAGUUGCAGUUGAGAUCUUCAUCAAAGAAGUCGGGGCGAGAUUAAGUGAUUGAAACGCUCAAGGCCACAAAACCAAGCAUUGUUUCAAAUUGACAAAUUGUUCUUUGUUUUGAAAAAAAAAAAUAGGAAACAUGUGCAAUCCAAAAGCAACCUUGCAAGAAGCAGGUGCGACCAAAAAGAAACUUCGCAAGGGCUAGAAACAGCUUUGCAGCAACAACCCAAAAAGGGAAGUCUCUUCCAAAAAUCUUUCCCGCAUUUACUCAUUCUCUAAAAUAAAAAAAAUGACAAUGAAAUGAAAAGAAAGAAAAGAAGAAAAAUUCAAAAUCAUGGUAGUAUAGGGUCUCCAAUCCCUAGCUGCGUCUUUUCCAGCAUAGGGUCUCACUCCCUAGUUGAUGCCGGCAUAACCCGAUGACUUUUCCAAUAUAGGGUCCCACUACCUAGUUGAUAACGACAUAACUUGGUGAUUUUUACAACAUAGGUUCCCACUCCCUAGUUGAUGCCGGCAUAACCCGAUGACUUUUUCCCACAUAGGUUCCCACUCCCUAGUUGAUGCCGGCAUAACCCGAUGACUUUUCCNNNNNNNNNNNNNNNNNNNNNNNNNCUUGAUGCCCGCAUAACCUGAUGCCAACAUAGGGUCACCACUCCCUAGUUGAUGCCAACAUAGGGUCUCCAUUCCCUAGUGUUGAUACCCAAUUUUCCCUAUAUAUUUUUAAUCUGCAUAAAUACCUUCAAAAUAACAUGUAUAUAUGUAUAUAUAAGCAUGCACAAGGUUUUUAUAAUUUUUCCCAUAAUUUUAAGGAUUUAAAUUGAUUUAUUUCCUUCCCUUUUAUUCAUAAAAUCUCCAAUAAUUAUCCCUCAAAUUAUUUUUAUGGUGAUUUAGUCAUUUAAUUCUAUAUUUAUGCCAAAAUAGGGUUAAAAUAUUUUUUAUGCAUUUAAUAAUUGCAUUUUGUAUUUUUAAAGCUAAAUUGCGUAUAAUUGCUAUGUUAGCCCCAUUAAUGUACAAUUACAUUUAUAUGCAUAAAAUUGAUCUCCUAUAUUUUUAAAAUGUUAAAUAUCUAUUUUAAAUCAUUUUAGUACAUGAAAUUAUUUCUUAGAAAUUAUUUAUCAUUUAUUAUAAAUUAUUUAAGGAAAAUUGGCUAUUUAAAAUAUAGCCAGAUUUGCAUUUCAAUUGUAGCCCAAUUUAAACCCAACCCCAGCCCAAUUUCAGAUUAAAAACACCUGGCCCAAGCCCUAAACCCGCCUACCCAACCAAAUGCCAUUUUAAAUCUUGGCCGUUGAUCUAAAAGAUCAACGACCCUCGUCUGUUCUUACCAUUUUUAAUUCCAACGACCCCUAACCCUAGCUCAUUGUUCAGAUACCGCCGCUUCUGUAUUCUAUCAUCUCCUUUCCUCUCUCAACCACUCAACCUAACCCUAGCUCCUUCAACCGCCGACCUUCUUCUCCGGUCUUCUUCGGUGAUCUUCCUUAAACUCCUAAGCCUCCAUUGGCUCCUCUAAUGAUAUGCUUGCCUUCUAUAAGGUCUUCAAGGGCCCUGGGCCACACCGACUUGCAUCUAGGGUUUGCUAUUUGUCUGUUCUUGGCUACUUCAGUGUGAUUUCAAGCAAAAUCAUGUUGUGCUUGUUACGAUCCUUGGGAUUCUAGACCAGCUCUUUCAUCUCUAUUUGGCUACUUUAGUAUUUUACACUGUUGUUGGGACUCUUUUAAAAGAAUCAUCGAUUUCAGUUUAAAACUUUGUUUAAACUGAUUCCUUAUGUUUAAACUUCCAUCUCUUGCAUAUUCCGACUGAUUCUAUGAUUUUACUGUCUUUUCAACUCGCCUAUGUUGAAAGCCCUAAUUUUCUGGACUUCUUCGUUUGGUUCUGUGUAUUAGCAUGACUGCUCGUUUCUUGUUUGAGUUUCUAUGACUAUCUUGCUUCGAAUAUGUUCUUACUAAGUUCUUAGGCUAAUUUAUAUCACCUCUAUGGGCUUAUGUUCAUUUUGAUUGUUCGGACUUGCCUCUUUCUAUCGAUACUGUUUAACCUGCAUGCUUGCUAGGUCUGGUUAUUCUUAUCUUCUCUAUUUAUAUGAUGAAUACAGAAUCAUGACUCCCUCUUUGAUUGAUUCUGGAUUCCCUAUUUUUUGGAUUUGAUUGAAAUACCUUCCUUUAAACCCUCAAUUUCUACCUCUUCUAUUCAAAUUAACUGAUUCGCCUACCUUGUCUGUUGUGGUACUUUAUUCUUACUGGCUAUUUCCUUAAUUAAAGUGUUCUAAACUUAGCCCUAAUUGUUUACCUUAUACUUACUGAAUUUGAAUCUUUUCUUAUUAGUCAUACACUGAUUUUUUUCCUUAUAUGCUACUUGUUCCUACCGUUUGAAUUGAUUCCCUUAACUCUAGGGAGUACUUGUCCUGAUUUUGCUCUAAUUGGUUUUGAGUUCCAUAAUCGUUAUGCUACGAUGAUUCUUGCCUUAUUUUACCUAAUUUUCAAACUACUAUAUAUACACACUCUCUCACUAACACAAACACACGAACACUUUGGUUCAAAAGCUCUCUCUUUCUCACACUUAAACUUUCCGCUCUCUCUCUCUCUCUCUCUCUCUCUCACUCUCUCUCACUCUCUCUCUCUCUCUCUCUUGUGCUACUUGUUACUAUUUUGAGUUAGCCGGCUGCAAGCCAAUGAUAAAUAUUGCGCUCUCCUACUCUUUCACUCUUGCUUACUGUCUUCUUUACUGGUAUGUUCUAAUUUCAAUUCAAGGUCCAAAAACAAUAUGGUUCUUUUAUUGCUUUAGUUCAUCCUCUUUCUAGUUUGCUUUUACUUAUGGUUUUGCUGUGAAACCUACAGUUAAUUAUGACAACUCGGCCAGUUGUCUCAUGUGUUACCGCUUUGCUUUUCCCAUUUCUACCUCUUUAUGCUUUUUUUAUCCAUAUUAUGUGAUAUCAGGCUGGUCAGAUCGAAUCCGGAAUAAUUUUGGUAAGGUUUGAGACACUUAGUCUCUUUGGAAUCAGUUUAGGUUGGAAAAGUCAACCGGAUGUUGAAUUAUGUAUUAGAGGGCUCGGAUGUGAGUUUCGAUGGUUUGGUUAGCUUUGGGAGGUGAUUUAUGACUUAGCAGCGUUAUCGGAAUGAGUUUUGGAGGUUCGAAGUAGAUUUAGGCUUGAAUUGGCAAAGUUGAUAUUUUGAUGAUUUCCGGUUGAUAGGUGAGAUUUUGGUAUAAGGGUCGGAAUAGAAUUCUGAGAGUUGUAGUAGUUCCUUUGUGUCAUUUGGGAUGUGUAUGCAAAAUAUCAAUUCAUUCGGACGAGGUUUGGUUGGGUUUUGAUCAAAAGCGUAAUUUUGAAGAUAUUAGAAUUCUUAGGCUUGAAUUCGAUGUGAUUCGGUGUUUUGAUGUUGUUUUGAUUGUUCCGAAGGUUGGAACAAGUUUGAAUGAGGUUUUAGGAUAUGUUGGUGCCUUUGGUUGAGGUCCCGGGGGCCUUGGGUGAGUUUCGGAUGGUCAAUCGGACCAUUUCAUGCCUUGGAGAAGUUGCGAAAUUGCAAGUUCAGCUGUUGCAAAGAUUCCUUCUCUGUGAUCGCGUAGGGCUUCUUGCGAUGGCAUAGAAGCUUUUGAGGGGGAAGUCCAUUUGUUCUUCAUGUUCGCGAAGGUUGAUCUGCGAUCGUAUAGAAUGGUGAAGUUGUUGAUCGCGAACGCGUAGUGAAGGUCGCAUUCACGUAGAGUUAAGUGGACCUGGGGUCUUGACUUGAAUUUGUUCAUUACGAACGCGGUAGGAAGUCCGCGAUCGCGUAGAGUUAGUUGCCUGGGCAUCACGUUUGCAGGGUGUCUUAUGCGUUCACAUAGAGAAGUUUUUGGGUGCUGAGAAUUUGUGUUUCGCGAUCGCGAAGGAUUUCCCGCGAUCGCAAUGAAGGAAAAUAGGCCUAGGCAGAAGGUUUAAAAGGUCGUCUUGUCCGUGAAUGUGAGGUUUAUUUCCCCCAUUAUUGGUUGUUUUGGAGCUUUUUGAAGGAGCUUAAAGAGGGAUUUAAGGGGAAUUACUUGGAGGUAAGAUUCUUGGACUUAAAACUCGAUUCUAACGUGAAUUCCACCUAAAUAAUCAUGGAAAUUAAGCCAAAAAUUGAAGAACUAGGGCUUGAAAUUGGGGACCUAAAAUUUGGGAUUUAAAGGGUCAUUUUUGGAUGGAUUUUGAUGUUUUUGAUAUGUAUGAACUCGUGGGCAGAUAAGCAAUCCAUUGAUGUGAAUUUUUUUUGAAUUCCGAGCUGUGUGCCCAGGGGUCGGGUUUUGGUAAUUUCGGGAUUUGUGCUAUUUAUUGAUUGUUUUCGAUUGGGCUUCGUUCCCUUAGCCUAUUUUGACUUCCUUGUUCUGAUUUUGGAUAGAUUCGAUGUGAAAGGAGGCCGAUUCGAGGGGCAAAGGCAUCGCGAGUUAGAGAUUUGACCUGUUCGAGGUGAGUAAUGAUUGUAAAUGAUGUUCUGAGGGUUUGAAACCCCAGAUUACACAUCAUAGUGCUAUAUUAAGGUGAGGCACAUGCUUGAUGACGAGCGUGGGGUCGUGCACUCUUGAGGAUUGUGACUUGAUCCAUCCUGAUUGAUAAUUCUACUGCGUAUUUGACUGAAAUCUAUUUGUUGUCAUUAUUAUUUGGGUUGAAUGCCGUAUUUGGGCCUUGUGCCAACUAUUUGAACCCUUCGCGGAAUUUUAUUGGUAUUUCCUCACUGAUUUGACUUUAUACUUGAACUCAGUCAUGUUAUUUUCCACUAUUUUCAUACUCAGUCAUGUUUACUCAGUUUUAAUACAUAAAUGAUAUUUUAAAUGAUGUUUGGGCUGAGAAACACUGUUUUACUAUUGCCCAAGUGGCUUGUGAGGAUUUUGACUGAGUGAGGCCGAGGGCCUAUGUUGUGAGGAAACAUUUGAUACUGAUUAUGAGGCCGAGGGCCUGAGAUAUGUACGCCACGAGGUGGCUUGAUUGAUAUGAGGCCGAGGGCCUAGUGAUGACGCCACGAGGUGGCUUGCUAUUGCGCUUGGGACAGGGGCCCCUCUAGGAGUCUAUACACCCCCAGUGAGCGCUGGUACCCAUUGUGAUGUGAGAUUGAGCCCGAUGGGCUGGUAUUGUUCUAUGUGAUUGCCCGAGGGGCUGGUACUGUUCUGGUAUGUUGCUCGAGGGGCAGAUUUUUGAUACUGUGCCCGAGGGGCGAGCCUUUAUGUGUUUACUUUUCAUAAUUGACUGUCAAUCACCUGCUUAAUUAUUGAAAAAGGCUUUCUCAUGAAACUACAUUGGAGUUAAAGGAUUUUAAGUAUCUUUCACUGAUUCACUAAUUUUAAAUGGUUUUACUUCCUCAUUAUAGAAUGUUAUGUGCCGUACGUGAUUACUUGCUUUUAGUCUUUAUUUACCUUUGUUACUCACUGAGUUGGAGUACUGACAUUACUCCCUGCACCCCUGUGUGCAGAUUCAGGCGUUGUGGAUCCUGCAAGUGUAAGUUGAGAGCUCCUAGCACAUAUUAGAGACCACGAGGUAGUUGUUUGAUGUCCGUAGUCAUGUGUUUCUCCCUCUUUAUCAUUUCUAUCUUGUAUCAGACAUUUGUAAUAGUUAUAGACUUUUCAGACUUGUAUUAUGUUUUAUAGAUGCUCUUGACUAGUGACACCCUGGUAUCGAGCUGUGUUGGGUUGUUCUUCCGCGUAUUUAUGAUAUUAUCUGCUACUUUGGAUUAUUUUAUCAUGUUUCGACUAUUUCUAAAUGCUUAAUUGUUAAUAAAAUUGGAAAAUCGGAAGUGUCGGUUGGCCUUGUCUUCACGAGAGGUGCCAUCACGAUCGGGUCCGGGUUUAGGUCGUGACAAGUUGGUAUCAGAGCCUAGGUUACAUAUGUCUCAUGAGGCAUGAGCAGGUUUAGUAGUGUCUCAGGAUCGGUACUAAGACGUUUGUAUUUAUCCUUGAGAGGCUGCAGAGCCUUUAGGAAAAACUUCAUAUUCUUGAAAUUCUUGUAGUAUAAAUUUGUUGAUCCGAGUACUAAACUUCUAUUGUUCUAUUCUCUCAUAUAUGGUGAGAACACGUGCCACCGAGCAGGAUGGACAACCACCAGUACCACCAACUGUGGCCACCAGAGGCCGAGUGUUACACCCCAUGUUUUAGUAUGUAAGAGUACGUCAUAAGUCAAUUAAUGUAAGUUCAGAAAUGGAAUCAUCUUUCAAAAGUAUACAAAGUUAGUUCAUCAUGUUAACGUGGAUGUUACAAAUAUUUAAGAUCAUUGAUACCAUGUAGCAAGAGAGUUUGAAGGCUUAGAAGCUAAACAAAUUGAAUAAAAUAAGUUUCGUCGAAAGUCGACAAGUUGGAAUGUUUUACCAUGUACUUUUGGGGUGAAACUAGGGUUAUUAACACUAUAAGGAGAUUAUAAUAUGAGUUAUUUUAGUUGUAUGAUAGUUGGUGUUAUGGUUUGAAGUCAAGCGAGUUAUGGAACAAAAGUUGGAAAAGGUCAUCACAAGUUCCAUUAAUAAAUGUGCUGAAAAUUAGGUCAAAUGUAACUGAGCUUUUCUUCCAAUAUACUUCGAAUUAGGGGAUGAUAUACCUACAAAAUUAAAGAUCUAUGAGUCUAGUUUCUAAAUCAUUAAACCGUUCAUCAAUAUGAUAUCGGAGUAUUGAGAUAUUCGCAUUUUCGCGAGACUGCAGAGAUUAGUAGGUGACAAGUAAGUGCAUCACCUACUUGCCAAAAUGAGAGGACAAAAUUAUAAGCUCCAAAGUCGGACAAAAAGGGACUUUUAAGGGAUUAUCAACUCAGUUGUUUCACCUAUAUUUCAGACCAUGAAAACCAAAUUGAACCCCUGCAACUUCUCCCCAAAAAUCCCACACAAACCCUAGGGUAUUCCGGGUGUUACGAUGCGAUUCUAGUGCUGAAAAGUCCGGACAGCUUGCUAGUUUCUCUUUCUCCUUCUUGUAGCCAUGUUGAGGAACUUAUUUUUGAUGAAAAAGGACCAGGUUUCGUGGGUUAUACUCAGUACAAGGUAAGUUUAUGCUUCUCCUUCCAUUAUCUAUGCGUUUGCGAGUUGUAACUUGAUCGUAAAGAAUAGACCUAGCUAGUUUCGAAAGAAUGGUAUGUUGUUUGUUCUUGUGUAAUGGUUGGCUGAUUUUGAACUUAUUUAUAAGUUGAAUUCAUGUCUUGUUUAUUGGAUAAUAGGUACAAUGACAUACUUUUGGUUGUAUUUCACAAUUUGAAAGAAAAGACAAGUUGAAACGUGUUUAAGUAAACUGAAAAAUUAUUUUUGAGUUGAUGAACUUGUGGGACUAUUUUUGGGCUGUUUCGUAUUGGUAUUGGGUUUUAUAUUUUACUACUAUUAUUAUGGAGUUGAGAGGAGUAAGGGUGUGGAGAAACACCACAUAAUGACAAGGUUGUUGUUGGUCAUUCGUAGAAACAUUUUUGAAUUGUUUGACACUAUUAUGGUUGUCGUGUUGUGUAUGAAGUGAUAGGGGUAUGUUGGUAUGUUUGUGAUUGUUUUGACUAGUGUUAAGUCAUAUAUAUAGGGGAGGUGCUGUCCAUUUCAUUGUAAAAUAGUUGUGGUCGAUACAUAAUAGUUACGACGCUUAAACGAUAACGAGAGUGUCAUUUCUCUUAUUGUAGACUAAGGAGCCGUAAAAUUGCAUAGCUUGAGGUUGGGAAGAAUAUACAGGGCAUGUUAAGGCACUUUCUUCUUUCUUUUGGCAUGAUCUAAAAUGAAAUGAACAUAAACGAUAUGAUAUUUCAUAAUGACUCUACUCCUAGCAACUAAGGUUGUCCAUGUUGUUCUUUCCGUACAAAGUUAUUCUAAGAAAGUAUGUAUGAUCCUUGAGUCCUAGUGAAGUUCAUAUUGAUGGUAUGAUGUCCAUAAUGCUAAUCGAAGGUGCAAAUACCUUACAUCACUCCGAAAGGUUUAGAACGUGAUUCCAUGAGUCGAGCAUGCAUUAUAUAUAAGUAUCUAUUUUACUCUACCGAGCCGCACUAUAGUCGGCCGGGUACAACACCUAUUGUGGAACCACUGAUGAGUUGGGUUUACCGAGAUCCACGUGGCCGAGUACGAUUCUACCGAGCCUUAUGAUGGCCGAGUACGUUUUUACCGAGUCCUCUUUGAGGCCAGGUAUGAUAUGAUGAUGAUGAUUCCCAAAGAGGGGUAUGUUAUUUAAAAGUUUGUGUAUAUAUAUAUAUAUUAUGCAUUUCAUGUCAGUAGACCCCAGAGGCACUCAGAUGUUACAGGUUGUAUCUCCUCUAUCUCUCUUUACAUUACAGUUCUUAUAUAUGUUUUCCUGCCUUACAUACUCGGUAUUUUAUUGUCCCUUCUUUCUAGGGACGCUGUGUUUUAUGCCUGCAUGUCCCGAUUGAUAGGUUGACAGUCCUUCAAACAGGCUAUUAGCUCAGCGGAAGCUAUUGGUACACUCCACUUGCUCCGGAGUUGCCUAUUUGGUUAGUAUGCUUUGGAUAUGUAUUGAUUGGUAUGGCGGGGCCCUGUCCCGACCUUUAUGAUAUUAGGUACUCUUAGAGGCUUAUAGACGUAUGUCAAGUGUACGUAUACUUUUAUGGCCUUGUCGGCCUAUAUUUUGAGUUUACAAAUGGUCAGGUCGGCCUUAUAGGCCCGUAUGUCACAUAAAUAAGUUUGUAUAUCAUGUUGGGUCAUCAUAUAUUGAGUAUUCCCUUAUGUUUUAUUCUUGUUAUCUCAUGAAGAGUUUUCUGGCUCAUUUACCCAUGAUAGUAUGAUAAGAAAGAUAUGUUACGUUGGUACUCGGUUGAGUAAGAUACUGGGUGCUCAUCGCGGCCCAUUCAGUUUGGGUCGUGACAGAAGUGGUAUCAAAGCAGUUCCGUCCUAAGGAGUCUACAAGCCGUGUCUUGUAGAGUCUUGUUUAUGGGUUUGUCGUGAACCAUAUUUAUAAGCAGGAGGCUGCAGGGCAUUUAGGACUGUCACUCUUUAUUCUUACUCUAGAUCAUGUGGUAGAGCUCAAUUGUAAGAAUUCAAACUUCUAAAUUCUAUUUUAUUUGUAACACAAUGAUACCUCAUCCAAACAGAUAGUUGGUAAGAGAUUAAAUGUUGUUGUGGAAGAGUUGAGUCAAUGGAACUCGAUUUUGCAUCAUGCUUAUGAUGAGUAAAUGUAAGGUGUUCAACAGAUCAUCUAUGUACUAAGAUGUGUGAGCUUCUUGAUAAGGAGCCCCAAUGAAUGAAUAUCUAUCCACCCAUAUGGUAAAGAGAGACGAGAGAAUCAGGAGGUGGAUACAAGUUUCAAUAAGUAAAAGAAGCAACUUGAAAAAGGUUACGAGGCACCAGUUAGUGAAGGUUUUGAGUUUUUACAAUUUAGGUAGAGAAAUAUAUGUAUUCUGAGUUACAUUCAAUAGUAACAAAGGUAUGUACAAUUGGCCACACCCAUCUCUGUAUGCCCUAUGGAAGUUGACAGAUAUAGUUUAAGAGAAGAAAGAGAUAUCAAGAUCCAAUUGUGGCUAGAUUAACCCAAAAUGGUAGAUGGAUUAUUAUAAUUAGCUAACAUUUCCGAAGGAUAUUGCAAAUGUGGUAAUAGUUCUCGUUGUAAGACACCCCGGUGGUGCAAGCUAGAAUAGUACAUUUACAUAUGAAUACUAGAAUGACUGGAAAAAUUUAGAAGAAUGGCACUGGAAUCCUAGAAGGGAUAAAUAUUUACCUUUGUAUGGCUCUCGUUCCUAGUAAAGAGAGAAUGCUAGGUGACCUAAAGAGCCAGUGAGAUGAAGCAAUGGGAGCUAAAAGUGAAAGAAUAAUUUGUUGAAGUUAUCAGAAUAAAGUGAUAGACNNNNNNNNNNNNNNNNNNNNNNNNNUACAACACGAUGACAGAGUUUAUAGUCAAGUAAAGGAAGAUACAAGAGGUGACAUGACUUAAGGCAAUAAAAGAGUAUAAGACAUAAAGUCAUAUUCCCAUUUCGAGAAAUGAUUUGGUGACUCCAACGUGAUUACCAUAAGGAAAGGUUAGACCCCAGAGUGAUAGAAAUCAGUAUGGGCUGGUAAACAAGAUAAACCGAAUAUGAAUAAGGGACCGAAUGAGUUUAUAAUAUUCGUCAUCGUGAGAAUUUCAAAGAUAGCAUUGAAACAAUAAUAGAAUGGACAACAAAAGAAUAACCUUUAAGGUUUAUUCAGGAAGACGCUUCCCUAAAGCAAGCACAAUGAGCAGAGUUAAGCUUAAGGGACUAAGUGUACCAAUUACACUAAAUGUCACCCAUGUGCGUAAGAAAUUCAACUAUCCCCGGUAUAGAAAGGUUUCCUCAAGGUGAGUAAAAUGUCAGUGAAGAUGUGAAAAAAAAAUAACAAAGAUAAAGAGGUAACUAUGGGAUAUUAAAGGAAGCAUGCGGUGAAAGGUGAAAUGAAUGAGAAUGCAUCUGUUCAGAUCCUACAGAUAUGAUAUGACUCCAAAACCUUAUGCAAGUAUGAUGCCAGGAAGAAGCAAUAAGGUUUCAUCACUCGACGAUAUUGAUAAAUAAGUGCAAAAUAAACACUUGAUACACAAGGAGCCAGUACGAUAGGUAACUUAAGACAAAGUAAAUAACCAAAGAGAGAUUACGCGGAAUAUAGAUAUAAGAAUGGACCAACGAGUAGUUGUAGUUGAUUUAGGAAGAGCCAUGUUAUGGUUAGACAAGAGGUUAUAAGCAAAUCAGCAGAUCAUGCAAGAUAAACGUAGUGAAUCAUAAUAUAGUGAAUUCAAUCUCGCAGAUAUGAUGUCAUAACCCUUGAGAAAUGCUCAGAUAGGAGUUGGGGUAUUUAAAGGUAUUGUAUAAGUGUUACAGGAAUAAUCGAGAGUGUCAUUAAGGAGACAAUCAAAAUCUGAGUUUAGAAGUAACCCUACAAGCAUAAGGGCACGGAGGUAUGUAACUAAGGAUGUUUGUAGGCGAGUAAGAAUAUCGGAAAUUCCUUCAUGUAUACAGUAUAACAAGAUCACAACUUUACAAGAUCCAUAAGGUCUCCUAAGUAUUACCACGAAAGACUAGCUCAGGAAAUAAGGAAGAGGGCUUCAACCUAAGCAUAUUAACUUGAAGAAGAAUUGGUCUGGUAACAAUAGUCUCACUACAAUAUUAGAAGUACUCUGUAAGAAAGUGGCGUCUAUAGUAGCUAAUGAAUGGAAAAAAAAUCAAAGGUGGUGUUUGAGAUCAUAUAAGGUACAGGAAAUUAUAGUAUUUGUGGGAAAUAAGACAAGCCACAACAAGUGGCAGAACAAUCAGGAAAAGUAAUUGCUUACAUUUAAAGACAACUGAGAAGGCACAAAAAGGAAAUCUGUGGUGCUAGCAAGUUAAAGAAAGGAUGUGAGUAGUACAAAUAGAUAAGUGUAGGUCGCAAGCUAAAGUAUGACAGAGUGACAAGACUUUAGGUAUAUGGGAGUAAGGAUAAGAAAAGGUGAGUUAGGAGCUGACAAGAAUAGGUAAGACCUCGGUAUUAAGCCCAUCAAACAAGAGAGCUGAUGGUUUAUGUAUGUUAUAAAAACCUCAAUAUAGCUUUAAUUAACACGGAGGAGUCUAAGACUAGGAGCAUUUAUAAGAGAUGGAAUGCUGCCCUGGUCGUAAUGUAAGGGCGUAAUUCUGGUAAAUUAUAAAAGGAUGAUAUUUAGGCCUAAUGAUUCAAACAGAAGAGAUUUCAUGGAUGGAACAGGAUUAGUAUACCCCUCUAAGACGAAUCACAUUGGAAUGCUAUGAAAUACGGUUAUUGAAGAAUAGUACCGUCCCUAGGUGGAUUGGGAAAAUCACUUCAGAUGUUCCCCGAUGAGACGUGAUCCCCAGUGACAAUGAAUUACGUAAGAGGUUUCAAGUUAUCAGUGGUAGAUUAUCGAUCAACAUUAAGGUGAAUCACCAAUGGAUGGAUAAAAGUUACAAUGUAUGAGAUGAGAUUAGACCGUCACUAUUAUGAUGAACAGUAAUGAGGAAGCAUUAAAGGACUUUGAUGUAUACAUAUAGGACAAGCAGUGAAAGAGUAACCCGUAGCUGGGUGGCAGACCUCGGUAAUAAUAAACUGAAGUAAGCGUUAGGAUAUAGUAUGAACUACCUAGAUGUAGUAAAGCCAUAAGCAUAGAUAACCGAGGCUAUGAAGCAAGGUAUAGCAAUAGUCGUAAGUUCGACAAAGUACUAAGCGAAGAACUUUAGUACACCUAUAGAUGCCUAGAGGGACAUCUUGUCAUAGUUCUGCAUAUGUUCACAAAGUGAGGCCUAGAGAUUGGCUAAAAGCUGGAGGAAAAAGGAGAAAAGAGUCGCAUAGGCACCCAUGCAAGUAUAUGGUUGUACAUGAUGCAUGAAAGAAGGUAACAACAGUUACGAGAUUGGAAGAAUUCCGACCACAGGUCGUGGUAUGAGAAAGAGGCCUAAAAGGGGGAAUACCCUAGCCCUUAGAUUUAUUUACAGAACAGUUUCAUAGAUGUCAAGUACAAUAUUAAAAUAUUCAUAAGUGCUACAGGUUAUGAUACUGAUAAGUGCAUUAGUCAACAUUCGAGGAUGAAUGUUUCAAAGGGGGAAUGAUGUUACACCCCAUGUUUUCGUACGUAAGAGUACGCCAUAAGUCAAUUAAUGUAAGUUCAAAAAUGGAAUCAUCUUUCAAAAGUAUAUAAAGUUAGUUCAUCAUGUUAACGUGGAGGUUACAAAUAUUUAAGAUCAUUGAUACCAAGUAGAAAGAGGGUUUGAAGGAUUAGAAGCUAAACAAAUUGAAGAAAAUAAGUUUCGUCGAAAGUCGACAAGUUGGAAUGUAUUACCAUGUACUUUUGGGGUGAAGCUAGGGUUAUUAACAUUAUAACGAGAUUAUAAUAUGAGUUAUUUUAGUUGUAUGNNNNNNNNNNNNNNNNNNNNNNCUAGUUACUAAAUAAUUAAACCGUUCAUCAAUACAAUAUCGGAGUAUAGAGAUAUUUGCAUUUUCGAGAGACUGCGCAGAUUGGUAGGUGACAAGUAGGUGCAUCACCUACUUGCCAAAAUGAGAGGACAAAAUUAAAAGCCCCGAAGUCGGCCAAGAGGGGACUUUUAAGGGAUUAUCAACUCAAUUAUAUCACCUAUCUUUCAGACCAAGAAAACCAAAUUGAACCCCUGCAACUCCUCCCCAAAAAUCCCACACAAACCCUAGGGUAUUCCGGGUGUUACGACGCAAUUUUGGUGCUGAAAAGUCUGGACAGCUUGCUAGUUUCUCUUCCUCCUUCUUGUAGCUAUGUUGAGGAAAUUAUUUUUGAUAAAACAGGACCAGGUUUCGUGGGUUAUACUAAGUACAAGGUAAGUUUAUGCUUCUCCUUCCAUUAUCUAUGUGUUUGCGAGUUGUAACUCGAUCGUAAAGAAUAUACCUAGCUAGUUUCGAAAGAACGGUAUGUUGUUUGUUCUUGUGUAAUGGUUCACUGGUUGUGAACUUCUUUCUAAUUUGAAUUCAUGACUGGUUUAUUGGAAAAUAGGUAUAAUGAUGUACUUUUGGUUGUAUUUCUCAAUUUGAAAGAAAAGACAAGUCGAAACGUGUUUAAGUCGAAAUGAUGUCCUUAGUCAAAUUAUUUUUGAGUUGAUGAACUUGUGGGGCUAUUUGUGGGCUGUUUCGUGUUGGUAUUGGGUUGUACUUGUUACUGCCAUUUUUAUGGAGUUGAGAGGAGGAAGGGUGUGCAGAAAUACUACAUAAUGGCAAGGUUGUUGUUGGUCAUUCGUCGUAACAUUUUCGGAUUGUUUGACACUAUUAUGGUUGUCGUGUUGUGUAUGAAGUGAUAGGGGUAUGUUGUGAUGUUUGUGAUUGAUUUGACUAGUGUGAAUUCAUAUAUAUAUAUGGGAGGUUCUGUCCGUUUCAUUGUAAAAUAGGUUGUGUUCAAUACAUAAUAGUUACAACGCUUAAACGAUAACGAGAGUGUCAUUUCUCUUAUUGUAGACUAAGGAGCCGUGAAAUUGCAUAGCUUGAGGUUAGGAAGAAUACACAAGGUAUGUUAAGGCACUUUCUUCUUUAUUUUGGUAUGAUCUAAAAUGAAAUGAACAUAAACAAUACACUAUUUCAUAGUUACUCUACUCCUGGCAACUAAGGUUGUCCAUGUUGUUCUUUUCAUACAAAGUUAUUCUAAGAAUGCCUUAGAAAAGGUAAAGGUGAUUCACGAGAGGCUUCGUACAACGCAGUCGAGACAAAAGAGUUAUGCUGAUAGGAAGGUUCGAUAUAUGUCCUACAUGGUUGGUGAGAAGGUUCUGUUGAAGGUUUCACCCAUGAAAGGUGUUAUGAGAUUUGGGAAGAAAGGGAAAUUGAGUCUGCGGUUCAUUGGGCCUUUUGAGGUGCUUCUAAGGAUUGGGGAGGUGGCUUCUGAGCUUGCUUUGCCACCAGCUUGUCGAGUGUGCAUCCGGUAUUUCAUGUUUCUAUGCUCUGGAGGUAUAUUGGGGAUCCGUAUCAUGUUUUGGGUUUCAGCACGGUUCAGUUGGAUGAUGAUUUGACUUAUGAUGUGGAGCCAGUAGCUAUUUUGGGUCGACAGGAUCGAAAGUUGACGUCCAAGGAUAUAGCUCCAGUGAAAGUGUAGUGGACUACUUGGGAGACCGAGCGGGAGAUGCAGAGUAGAUAUCCUCACCUGUUUGAGUGGGAGAAUAUGACAACCCGACCAGUCGUCUAAAGAGUUACUGCUCCGUUUUCCCCAUUUCUGCUUCUUUAUGCUUUGUUUAUCCGUAUUAUGUGAUAUCGUGUUGGUCGGAUCAAAUCCAGAAUAAUUUUGGUAAGGUUUGAGACAUUUAAUCUCUUUGGAAUGAGUUUAGGUUGGAAAAGUUAACGGGAUGUUGACUUAUAUGUUAGAGGGCUCAGAUGUGAUUUCCGAUGGUUUGGUUAGCUUUGGGAAGUGAUUUGUGACUUAGGAGCGUGAUCGGAAUGAGUUUUGGAGGUUCAGAGUAGAUUUAGGCUUGAAUUGGCGAAGUUGAUAUUUUGGCGAUUUCCGGUUGAUAGGCGAGAUUUUAUAUAGGGGUCAGAAUAGAAUUCCAAGAGUUGCAGUAGUUCCGUUCGGUCAUUUGGGAUGUGUGUGCAAAAUUUCAGGUCAUUCGGACGAGAUUUGGUUGGGUUUUUGAUCAAAAGGGUAAUUUUGAAGAUUUUGGAAUUCUUAGGCUUGAAUCCGAUGUGAUUCGGUGUUUUGAUGUUGUUUUGAUCGUUUCGAAGGUUGGGACAAGUUUGAAUUAGGUUUUUGGAUAUGUUGGUGUCUUUGGUUGAGGUCUUGGGGGCCUCGGGUGAGUUUCGAAUGGUCAAUCGGGCCAUUUCAUGCCUUGGAGAAGUUUCAGAAUUGCAGGUUCAGCUGUUACAGAGAUUCCUUUUCUACGAUUGCGUAGGGCUUCCUGCGAUCGCAUAGAAGCUUUUGAGGGGACACUCAAUUUGUUCUUUGCAUUCGCGAAGGUUGAGCUGCGAUAGAAUAGAAUGGUGAAGUUGUUGAUCGCGAACGCGUAGUGAAGGUCGUGUUCGCAUAGAGUUAAGUGGACCUGGGGUCUUGACUUGAAUUUGUUCAUUGCGAACGCGGUAGGAAGUACGCGAUCACGUAGAGUUAGUUGCCUGGGCAUCGCAUUUGCAGGGUGUCUUAUUUGUUCGCAUAGAGUAAUUUUUGGGAGCUGAGAAUUUGUGCUUUGCGAUCGCGAAGGAUUUCCCGCGAUCGCAAUGAAGGAAAAUAGACUUGGGCAGAAGGUUUAAAAGGUCGCCGUGUCCGCGAAUGUGGGGUCUAUUUCCCCAAUUUUUGGUCAUUUUGGAGCUUUUUGAAGGAGAUUAAAGAGUGAUUCAAGGGGAAUCACUUGGAGGUAAGACUUUUGGACUUAAAACUCGAUUCUAAAGUGAAUUCCACCUAAAUAAUCCUGGAAAUUAAGCUAAAAAUUGAAGAACUAGGGCUUGAAAUUGGAGACCUAAAAUUUGGGAUUUGAAGGGUCAUUUGUGGAUGGAUUUUGAUGUUUUUGAUAUGUAUGAACUCGUGGGGAGAUAAGGAAUCCAUUGAAGUGAAAUUUUUUGAAUUCCAAGUCGUGGGCCCGGCGAGCGGGUUUUGGUAAUUUCGGGAUUUGUGUCAUUUAUUGAUUGUUUUCGCUUGGGCUUCGCUCCCUUAGCCUAUUUUGACUUCCUCAUUCUGAUUUUGGAUAGAUUCAAUGCGAGUGGAGGCCGAUUCGAGGGGCAAAGGCGUCGCGAGUUAGAGAUUUGACCGGUUUAAGGUGAGUAAUGUUUGUAAAUGAUGUUCUGAGGGUUUGAAACCCCGGAUUGCACAUCGUAGUGCUAUAUUGAGGUGAGGCAUAAGCUUGAUGACGAGCGUGGGGUCGUGCCAUCUUGGGUAUUGUGACUUGGUCGGUCCCGACUGAUGAUUUUACCGCGUAUUUGACUGAAAUCUUUUUGUUAUCAUCAUUAUUUGGUCUGAAUGCAAUAUUUGGGCCUUGUGCCAACUAUUUGAACCCUCCGGGAAUUUUUACUGGUAUUUCUCACUGAUUUGACUUUAUACUUGAACUCAGUAAUGUUACUUUCCUCUUUUUUCGUACUCAGCCAUGUUUACUCAGUUUUAAUACUUAAAUGGUAUUUUUAAAUGAUGUUUGGGCUGAGAAACACUGUUUUACUAUUGCCCGAGAGGUUUGUGAGGAUUUUGACUGAGUUAGGCCGAGGGCCUACGUUGUGAGGAAAUAUUUGAUGCUGAUUAUGAGGCUGAGGGCCUGAGAUAUGUACGCCACGAGGUGGCUUGAUUGAUAUUAGGCCGAGGGCCUAGUGAUGAUGCCACAAGGUGGCUUGAUAUUGCGCUUGGGCAGUAUGGGGCCCCUCCAGGAGUUUGUACACCCCUAGUGAGCGCGGGUACCUAUUAUGAUUUGAGAUUGAGCCCGAGGGGCUGUUAUUGUUCUAUAUGAUUGCCUGAGGGGCUGGUACUAUUCUGAGAUGUUGCGCGAGGGGCAGAUUUGUUGAUAUUGUGCCCGAGGGGUGAGCCUUAUGUUUUUACUUUUCAUAAUUGACUAUCAAUCACCUGCUUAAUUAUUGAAAAAUUCUUUUGGAGUUAAAGGAUUUUACCUAUCUUUCACUGAUUCACUGAUUUUAAAUGGUUUUACUGCCUCAUUAUAGAAUGCUAUGUGGCUUACGUGAUUUCUUGCUUUCAGUAUUUAUUUACCUUUGUUACUCACUGAGUUGGAGUACUCACAUUACUCCAUGCACCCCUGUGUGCAGAUUCUAGCGUUGUGGAUCCUGCCAGUACGAGUUGAGAGCUCCCGACAGAUAUUGGAGUCCACGAGGUAGCUUCUUGACGUCCGCAGUCCCGUGAUUCUUCCUCUUUAUCAUUUCUAUCACAUAUCAUACAUUUGUAAUAGUUGUAGACUUUUCAGACUUGUAUUAGGUUUUAUAGAUGCUCAUGACUAGUGACACCCCGGUAUCGGGCUGUGUUGGGUUGUUCUUCCGCAUAUUUAUGAAAUUAUCUGCUACUUUAGAUUAUUUUAUCAUGUUUGGAUUGUUUCUAAAUGCUUAAUUGUUAACAAAAUUGGAAAAUGGGAAGUGUCGGCUGGCAUUGUCUUCACGAGAGGCGGCAUUGCGACCGUGUCCGGCUUUGGGUUGUGACAUUAAUAUAAUUACCUAAUUAGCAUGUCAUGUACUCCCUUUCCUUAGGAUCAGUGUAAACAUGUUACCCCCUAUAUGUCUGAUCAAUUGUUUCUAAGCAUGUCUGUACCAAUUAUCUCUACCUGUUAUGUGUUUACCAUCAUGUGUUCCAUGUAUCCCCAAUCCCUAUCACCCCUGUAUAUAGGUUUGUUCCUUUUGUUUGGUUCUGUUCUCUUUAAGUAUUGUUGAUGUAGUUUUGGACUUCAUGUUUUAUUUACUAUUGUCUAAUCAUGCAACUCUCUUUUCAAAAUUCUAAGCAAACCUCCUCUUUAUAUUGUUUUCCUGUCGAAACCUUUCAACUUGUGUCAAGCUCUUUCNNNNNNNNNNNNNNNNNNNNNNNNNNNNNNNNNNNNNNNNNNNNNNNNNNNNNNNNNAAUUUUGGUUACCAAGUCUAGGUGUAAGCACUGCCCGAGAUCCUUGAGAUCCUUAGGGAACUUUGAUACACCUAGGCUAUGACAUUGUCUAUGGAAUUGAGGUAUUUGAGGCUAUUGGAGGCUUUGGAAACCUGGGCCUAUCUGUAGGCUCCCUACAGAAUAACUUCUUAUUUACUUAUGUAAUUUAUUCAUAUGGUCUGUAAUAACUUGUAAAUGAAUAUUGGUGUAAUUAGUGAAAAGGGUGGGUAGCUACAUGUUUGUGGGGUAAUACGGGUAGAAAACAUGCCUAUAGGUUUUUUACAUCUUGUCAUGUUUGUCUCAAAAUGUUAGAAAUCAUCCCUAUAGGUUUCAAGUGAUUCCAUAAUAGAAAUCAUGUUUAUAAGUCUUAAAAUCAGCUUCAAAAGUAGAUGCCAUGCCUAUAGGAUAUAAUCCAAAUCCGACUUCUGCUAUAACAAGUGUUUAUAUUUGUUUUCAUUGUCAUCAUGCUUGCAAGUCUUUAAAAUCAGUAUUAAACAAGUAGAUAUCAUGCCUAUAAGGAAAAACACCUGAAAUUCUGCCUAUAGAUCUAAAUUUGUUUGUAUUUAAUUAAUUUUAUCCGAUUAACGAUUACCUCACUUCGAAACUGGUUUAAUUAAUGGUCUAUUUUCCUGAAGCGAGUUCUUUCAAAAACUGCCUCAAUUUAUCAUUGACAUCAUGCCUAUAGGAAUUAAAGAGUUCAUUUCAAAACCUGCCUUGUUUCACUAUAUAAAAUGUAGUCAUCAGUAUUCCGCGUAUAGGUAAGCCUGUAUGGCAUUUUCAAAACUUGCAAUUCUGAAACUGUUUCUGUGACUUAAUGUUGUUAUGGUUUAAACAAGCUAUAAAAUCAGUAGGCAACUGAUAGGGUCAUUACUUCCGAGUUUAUAAAACAAGCUGCCUGUUUUUUGUAAAUUCACUUAGACAUCAUGCCUUAGGAUAUUGUUUAACAAAAAGGCCUUUAUUUGUGUUUGAGUCGUGUUGUUUACAUGCCUUUUCUGUGGAGGUAAACUGAGCCUCUUGUUUGCUCCUUCCUGCUCUUGUUUUCUAAGAGUCCUAUGUGUUAUUGCUUGUCGCCUGAGUAUUUUCACCUUUAAAACCUAAGGGGUCUGUCUAGAACCACCUAUAGGUAGAGGUCCAAAAUCCCCCCAGGACCAUUAAGAAGGGAUGAGUAACAGCACGCAAUAGAUAUUGCUGACCAAACACUCGCUUAAAAUGACUACUAAGGGGAUGGGAAGGGUAGAUAUGGGAUAUGAUGAUUACACACUAAUGUCAUGUGUAGCCCCUCAUUGAGGAGUGUUUACCGGACAUUGUGUGGGAUGAUUCUAUAGGCUAAGCAACCUAGGACUUUCCCUUUCCCGAAAUUCCUUUUGUUUAAGACUUUGUUUUAUACAACUUGUCCAAAAACUUCUCUCUUAUUAUUUGAGUUAUACAAACAUGCCUUAUUUGUAAUUAUUUGUUACAAGUAUUUGGACUAAUUCGUGACUAUAAGUUCGGCUGGGACCUACAGUUGUGGACCAAGAGGGGUGCCUAACACCUUCUCCUCGAGGUCAUUUCGAGCCCUUACCCUAAUCUCUAGUAAUGCAAACCAAUCCAAGAGUUAAUCACUCUAGGUGCCCUAAUGCACCAUAAUCCGUUAGGUGGUGACUCUUCAAAUACCCAAUUCCCAAAAGGAAAGGAGUUAUCACAUCCCAUGAAUGUCGAAACCCGGACCUCUCUCCACGGAGGGAAAAAAGGGGCACGACAGCAUGGCGACUCUGCUAGGGAUGCCUUUAAGGCUCUUACCAUAACGAACUUAUCUUUUUACUAAUUAGUCUAAGCAUGCUUUUAUCACGUACCCUUCUCCCUUAUUUGAAUUUAACUGUCCAUUUUUAAGCGUGUAUGUUUCUUUAUCCCUGAAACUGACUUGUCUCUUUGUUUUCUUUUCCUGUAACCGUCUUUCAAUUAUUUAAAUACUGUAUUUAUUUUUCCUUACGUGCAAAUACUUGACUACAUGUUAUUAAUUUCUGUAUAAAUCAUGCUCCACAUUAUAUUCCACUCGUGCGUAUCAAAUCCUAUAACAACACUUUAAUGAGUGGUUGCGCACUUCCUAUUUACUACCCUUAAAUUCGGAAAGACUUAUUUGCGGUAAAACCAGUCGAUUAGCAGUGCAGUCGACGGUUCUGUGCCUUCCCUCUCCAGUUGUCCACUUGAGUGUACCAGUCUAAAACCCCUUAAAAACCUUACUCUGGUUAAAAUUAUGCAUGCAUCAUGGUCAAACCUUGUCGGAUCAGUUAUGUUGUCAAUAUAAUGAUCCUUUAAGAUAAGCCUUAUCGAAAAGUCCAUUCGGUUUUCCAUAAUUCCAACGGACACAACCAUGUUCUGUGUAUUAAUUUGGAGAACUAAAUGCCGAUACGCUGAUUGUAAAUGUAUAAAUAGUCCAUUCUGGUGGGGGUAAGGCCUAACCCUUUUGUUUUGCAGAAAAUGAAGAACGAGGUCCCCAGCUUCGGUAUGGUUAGCACACCCUCUCUCUUACUAGACUGGUGGAGGAAUUUUCCAUCAAGUGACCAAAUAAAUGAAUGGGAAAGAGAAGGCUGUCAAAUCUAGCGAAAAACUGGAAUAUCUGGAAUACAAUAUGCUGGAAUUGGAAAGAAAAGUGAGGAAGAGAAUCAUCAAUUGCCAGAACACUAAGGGAAUUGAAGGACGACAUUUAGCAAAGGCGUUCUUAAUGAUGAACCUACGAGAACUGGAGGAUUUGAUCAACGAGAACAUUCCACCCGAUGAAGGUCCUUUGGAGACCAAAUAGAUUAGGUUUAAUCGCUUUCCAAAUGUAAUAAGGCCAAGUGCCAAUAGUGACCGAGUUUAAUAUUAUCUUAGUGUCAUUUUGGGAUUCGUCUAAUUUUAUAUUAUGAAAUGAAGCAUUAUUUGGCAUUUAAAGUUCUCCAAAUCUAUUUGUCGCUAGGCCUACCUCGGGCACAACGAGGUUCCCAAAAUAGGACACGAUUUUACAAUUUACAAUAUGUGUUUAAAUACUACAAACAUUUCAGAAUCCCCACUGACUUGUUACCUUUUUGUUUUUCUUUAUUUUUGAUUAUUCCCAUCCCCUUAGGUUGGUUCACUCAUACUAGCCUCAUCAGCAUAUCAUACCAAAUCCAGAAGCCCUCCACCUCCUAAUCCUCCAAGCAACACAAAAGGCAGAGGAAAAUCAAAGAUGGACGACUUAAGUGGAAUCCGAAAAGAGAAUAUGGAAAAUGUAGAGACUUCAGAUGGUCGUAGUACUCCGGCCCCAAUUGAUCUAGUUUUGAGACUAGAACAAAAGAUACUGGAAUUGCAAGGAGGACUUGAGCAGGUUCGUAACUUAGCAAAUUUGUCACUCACCCUCAGUGUCCCCAAUGUCCAUCAACAAAACACAAAUAACCUGACACCUCCUCAGAACACACAAAACCAGCAACCAAAAAAUCCUACCGCACCAAAUUAAUACGCAACCCCACCCCAAAAUAUCAAUCCGCUGUCAAUACCAACUCCACCACAACAUUACCAUCAACCAAUUCAGUACCGUCCAACCACCACUUACGACACUCCCCAAAACACACAACUCAUUCCCGAUCCAUAAAACUCCACUAAUGAUAAUCAUUACGCCCAAGUUCCUAAAACCCAUCAAAGCAACCCCAUAUAUGUGGAAAAUAUACCCCAUUCUAUCCAACCAAUCUCUUGUGCACCGGAAUCCUCCGAGAAGGACCUGAUCAUUAAAAACAUGGCUAAAGAACUCAAGAAGUUGACAAGCCGAGUUCAAGGUGUUGAAGGCGAUAGAGGAAUAGAGGGUUUGAAUUAUGAAGAUCUGAGAAUACAACCGGAUGUCGAACUGCCUGAGGGGUACAAACCUCCCAAGUUCAAAAUGUUCGAUAGUACAGGUGAUCCCAGGGUUCAUCUAAGGACCUAUUGUGACAAGCUUAUCGGGUUCGGGAAAGAUGAAAAGAUCCAGAUGAAACUCUUUAUGAGGAGCCUUACUGGGGACGCUUUAUCUUGGUAUAUCAACCAAAAUACCAAGAAAUGGUCCAAUUGGGUAAGCAUGUCGUCGAAUUUCAUGGACCGCUUCAGGUUUAACACAUAGAAUGCACCGGUCAAAAUCUUAAGAAGAAACCUAUUGAGACUUUUUGUGAGUACACUACUCGUUGGAGGUCGGAAGCAACCAAGGUCAGGCCCGCUUUGGAUGAAAAAUAGAUGAAUAAAUUCUUCGUUAGGGCAUAGGAUCCACAAUAUUAUGAGAGGUUGAUGGUUAUUGAAAACCACAAGUUCUCUGACAUAAUCAAAAUCGGAGAAAGGAUUGAGGAAGGAAUCAAGAGCGGGAUGGUAACGAAUUUUGAAGCACUACAAGUCACAAAUAAGGCUCUUCAAUUAGGUGGCAUAUCGAAGAAGAGAGAUGUUGGGGCAGUAAUGGUGGUUCAGGGCCCAAAAUCUCCACUUACCUAUCAAACACCUCCACCUCCAUAUCAAACACCUUCACCCACAUACCAAGCAUUAUUACCUACAUAUCAACCUUCAUCUCCCAGAUAUUCCCAACCAGUCACUGUCCAUCACACCUAUAACUCCCAACCAUCCCACUUCUUAUCACCACCAGCUCGCCAAAACUAUCCAAGACCAAGACCUAACUUCGACCGCAACCUACCCAGACAAUACACUGCUAUUGCUGAGCCUAUCGACCAAUUGUAUAAAAGGUUAAAAGCCGCAGGUUACGUCACUCAUGUUCCCGCUGUGGCAUUAGAAAAUCCAUCCCAAUGGGUCAAUCUGAACAAAACUUGUGCAUACCAUUCCGGUAUUAAAGGGCACACCACUGCUGAGUGCCGAACAUUGAAGAAUAAGAUCUAGACACUAAUUGACAACAAAGUCAUACAAGCAAAGAAAGUCGCACCUAAUGUCCGUAACAAUCCCCUCCCUGAUCACAGAGAUAAUGGGGUACAUGUGAUAGAAACAAAUGAAGAAUGGGAUCCUAAGGAAUCAAUCGGGCUUAUUCAAGAAGGCGACGCCUUUAAGGUUGCAAUCACACUUACUCCUAUUGUGGUUUAGACUCUAGCACCAAUUGAUGUUGAGAUAACUGUAUCAGUUCCAUUCGAGGUGGAAGUGGCUCCGCCCGCAGCCACCUCCACUCCAUUUGAACUAGAAGUGGUCAUACCUUUUACUGUGACAUUAUCAACCACACUCCCAUUCAGCUCAAAAGAAAUAUCCUGGGAUUAUUUUGCCGAGGCUCGGCGGAAAGGGAAAGCCAAGGUAGAGGAAUCUGACAUUGCACAAGGGUUGACUAGAACUGGGAGAGUCUAUACACCCCGAACACCUAGAGGUUCAAGUAAGGAGGCCACUACUAGGAAGCCUAUCAUUGAGACUGGGCCAGAUGACCUGUGGAGAAAAGUGUAGGCAAAAGAAUACUCUAUCGUUGACCAUCUGAACAAAGUCCCUGCGCAGAUAUCUAUUCUGUCACUAUUGCAAAAUUCAGAGGCACACAAGAAUGUUUUGAUGAAAGUACUGAGCAAGGCUUAUGUACACAAUAACAUCACUGGUGGAGAAAUGGCCAACAUGGUUGGGCAAGUGCUGGAGAGCCAUAAGAUUAUCUUCCACGAAGAUGAGCUACCGCCCGAGGGUUUGAAUCAUAAUUGAGCAUUGCAUAUCACAGUGCAAUUUGAAGACAAGUUCAUUGCCAUGGUCCUGGUUGAUGGGGGUUUGAGCCUAAAUAUUUGCCCAUUGGACACGCUGAAGAGGUUGGACAAAGGUUUCCACGAGAUACGGGUAGGAAGCAUGAAUGUGAAAGCUUUCGAUAGGUCCUAGAGGGCCACGAUCGGGGAAAUCAACCUUUGCUUGCAGAUGGGGCCGACUUGGUUCGACGUUGAAUUCCAAGUACUUGACACACCAGCCUCAUAUAAUCUUCUAUUGGGCCGACCAUGGAUCCAUGUUGCUGGAGCCAUGCCUUCCACACUACAUCAAGUCGUGAAUUUUAAAUGGAACUGCCAGGAGGUAAUCAUUCACAGAGAUGGAAGUAACCCCAUUUACACUAGUCAAACCAUCCCGGCCAUUAGACAUUGAAGAAGGCUAGGAGGGGAAACCUAUCAUCGCGUCUUACAGGUCAAUGCCGUUGAGAAGGACAAGUGGUGGAGUAAAAAAAUAGAAAGCAUACUAGCAUGGUCCGGAUAUGUAUCCGGCAAAGGUUUGGGAAAGAACCUCCAAGGCAUCACCAAACUAAUACAGCUGAAAAAUCAUGGUACCACUUUUGGGCUCGGAUACCAGUACAUAUGGAAAGAGUACAGGAAUUGGUCGCCUCUAUAACGUGGACCGUAUUACCCUUUUGAGCAGUCAGUGCUACAUUUGGAACAAGCUUUCCACCAGGCCAACACAAUAUGGGGGAUUGCAAAAGAAGAAGCACUAGUUGGGCUGAAGAAUUUAUUCUUGGAAGAUGAGGACAUGGACUGCGGUACCAUAAUUGAGAAGGGGGAGGAAGAAGGCUUCUCAGACUGCAGAAAAGGGAGCUGUUCUCAGAAACUGGACCGCUAUACUAUCCCGAGCCCACCGAAUCCCUGGGUAGCUUGGCAGAAUUUACUUCUAUAGCCGUUCUAGGCAUUUCAAAUUUCCUGCAGUUUCAUUUUAAUCUUUACUUGUUUCAAAAUAAAUGCUCGAUUCAUCGAGUCGUGCUUUGUCUGAACAAUCUUUUUCAAAGUUUUAAUCAAAUGCAUUUGCUCUUUAUUAUUCACUACUAUCGUUACAUUUUUUCUCUCCAUAACGUUAUUAUUACAUUUCCUGAUGAACCAGUGACUGUGACAUAUAAUGAGGCAACGCAACAUGAGAAUAGUGAUUCAGAGGAAAAAGAUGAGAUACCCGAGGAAAUCAUCAGGGAGGUUGAAAAUUUUGAAAAUAAGCCAAAGUACAAUCUAGACGAGAGCGAAGCAGUAAAUUUGGGAGACGCCAAUACUGUCAAGAAGACCCGCAUCAGCAUUCACUUGUCACUAACAGAAAAGGAAGAGUACAUUUGUUUCCUAAAAGAAUAUGAGGACAUUUUCGCAUCGUCAUAUGAUGACAUGACCGGUUUGAGCACUUCCAUAGUGGCUCACAAGUUACCUACUAAUCCCAUGUGUUCACCAGUAAAAUAGAAACUCAGAUAAUUCAAACCAGACAUGAGCUUGAAAAUCAAGGAAGAAGUUACCAAGUAGAUCAAAGCCAAAGUUCUCAGGGUGGUUGAGUACCCAACCUGGUUACCUAAUGCCACGACCCCGGUUUGCCCUCCGUAAACCAUCGUGACGACACCUAGUAUCUACGACUAGGUGAGCCUAAACUUGCGGAAGUAAAAUAAUUUAAAAACAGAAAUAAGGCAAUAACAAUGUUAAAUGUGCUGCUCGGCAUACACCAUAUUUAUAUAGAUCUCAAAACCAAUAUCUAAAUCCAAGACCCGGAAACCCACGAAUCACAAGCUAAGAAAAUGAAAUACUACGUAGCUCUAACUCCGGAAUUUGUGUAAUAAGAACAGAAAGUAUAGAAGGACUAAAUACUAAAAGGCAGGAAUAGAAAGGUACUCCUCGGUCUACGGACGCGGCAGAUGUGCCUCGAAGUCUCUAAGUAGUUGCCUCCCUCAAGGAUGGUAGGCCUGAGCAGAAGUACCUGGAUCUGCACAUGAAAAACAUGUGCAGAAGGGGCAUGAGUACACCACAGCGGUACUCAGUAAGUGUCAAGCCUAACCUCGGUCGGGUAGUGACGAGAAAGGUCAGGGCCCUACUAAGGUUAAAUACAAUAUAAGGGUUAACAAUGUGGAAUAAAACAGUAUACAUAAGUGCAAGAGCAAGAAAUAACAUAGAAUUGACAAAACUACAACAACUAGAAUAGAGACAAAACAAACCACGGAAAGAAAUACAGCUCAACACAAAGAUAACAAUCGGGACACCUUCUAGGAUACCAUCUUGUAGUCCCAAUUACAACUGUCCAGUGGAUCUCCCGGGAUACCAUCCCGUAGUCCAUCAUAUAUAUAUCCGAAGGAUCUCCUGGGAUCCCGUCCCGUAGUCCAACUAUCAAUGCGCAGGGAUCUACCGGAAUCCCGAUCCAUAGUCCCAAAUUUAAAUUCCCCGUACUGGGAGAAUCUACCAGGUGCAUUUCCGUAGUUCCAUAUAACUGUGCAGGGGGGUCUACCGGGAAUCUAACCCAUAGUCCCAAAGUGAAUGUGCAGGGGGAUCUACCAGGAAUCUAACCCGUAGUGCCAAAGUAAACAGAAAAGGGAGAGCUACCAGAAUCCCACAUCCGUAGUCCCAAAAUAAAUACGCAGCAGCAGUAGGAAGAUAUACAGAAAUGGCAAAAUUUCAUAUUAAGGCAAUAAGUGAUUCUAGCCUAGCAUGCUGCACAGAAUUCAAGUAAGGCAGGUUGAAUCAAAUAAAACAAUUAAGUCACUUAGACAUGCUUUCCUAAGCUAACAACAUGCUUAAUAGUGCAAGUAAUAGAAACAUGAAAGGAAACAUACUAGUAAUUACUUAAAGAAAACCGGAUUUCCAACAAUUAGCACAAGUACGCAGUUGUUACCUCGCGUACAAGGCAUGUUAAUUACCAAACAUACCAAUCCUAAGGGGAAGGUCCCCCCACAAGGUUAGACAAACCACUUACCUCGAACCAGCUCAAAAAUUAACCCAACACCACGUCUUUUCCACGAGUACUCGACUCCAAAUGGCCCAAAUCUAUUCAAUUUUCAAUUGCAUAAUGUAAAUAACACUUCAAGUAAAUGAUUCUACAAUUACAUUCUAAGCUAAUACGCAUAAUUAUGUAAAAUAACCAAAACGCCCCUCCGGCCCACGUCUCGGAAUCAGGUGAAAUUUACAUUUCAGAAACCUCGUACUCUCACGAGUCUAUACAUAACAAGAAAACUGAAAUCGAAGUUCAAAUGGCCCCUCAAAUUCUCAUUUAAAGGAAUCUUAAACUCAAGCCCUAAUUACCCAUUUUUUUCCAAAUUUCUCACCACUAAUUAGGUCUUUAAUCACAUAAAAACGAGUUAUGAAGUCAAGGAUGUUACCUCCAAGUGAUUCCCCUUUGUUUUCCUCAAAAAUCUCUCUUAAUAGCUUCAAACCGAAUAAAAAUGGUGAAAAGAUCCCUCAAAUUCGCGAUGGCAAUUAUUUAUAUGUUCUGCUCAGCGAUAUUCCGCCCAGCGAUUUUCCGCAUUUGCAACCCUAAGACCGCAUGUGCGGUCCCGCUUCUACGGAACAAGUGUCGCAUUUGCGACUUUCCCUUAAGGACCCAGCUUUCGCAUCUGUGAACAUCUCAACGCAUCUGCGGUUCUUGAGAGGAAAUCCCAAAUUUCGCUUUUGCGGUCCUCUUCGCCGCUUCUGGGGCUCCGCAUCUGCGGUCCGCAAACCGUAGAUGCGAAAAUUCCAGAAGAUUAGCUGCUGCAGCAACUUCAACUUCAAAAUUUCCUCUGUUAACCAUCCGAAUUCAUCCCGAGGCCCCCGGGACCUCACCCAGAUGCAUCAACAUAUCCUAAAACCUUAUUCAAAGUUGUAUAAAUCUUCAAAACACUUCAAACAACAUCAAAACAACCUAAACACAUCGUAUUCAAGCAUAAAUUUCUAAAAUCUUCUGAAUUCUGCUUUCGAUCAAAACCCAACCGGAAACUUCCAAAAUUCAGCUUUCGGCAUUUCAAGCCUAAAAUUGGCUACGGACCUCCAAAAGACAAUCCGACCACGUUCCUAACCCCAAAAUCACCAAACGGAGCUAACAGAACCAUCAGAUUUCCAUUCCGAGGCCGUCUUCACACUAUUCUGACUACGGGCAACUUUCUAACACUUAAGCUCUCAUUUAGGGACUAAGUGUCCCAAAACUCCCCGAAACUCAAAACCGAACAUCCCGGCAAAUCACAUUAGCAGAAAUAAACUUGGGGAAAGUAGUUAAUAAGGGAUCAGAGCGUAAAUUCUUAAGAAGACCGGCCGGUUCGUCACAUCCUCCUACACUUAAACAUUUGUUUAUCCUCGAACGAGCAUAGAGACAUACUUGAAGUAGUGAAAAGAUGAGGGUAACGACUGCGCAUAUCCUGCUUGGUCUCCCAGGUCGCCUCCUCGACCAAAUGAACCUGCCAUUAGACCUUCACUGAUGCAAUGUUCUUUAACCUCAGCUUUCUCACCUGUCUGUCAGAUAUUGCCACUGGGUCCUAAAUAAAAUAUAGAUCCUUGUCCAACUAGACUGAACUGAAAUCCAACACAUACGACAGAUCGUCGUGAUACCUCCGGAGCAACAAAACAUGAAAUACCGGAUGAACUCCUGCCAAGAUGGAGGUAAGUCAAGCUCAUAAGCAACCUCACUAACACGCCUCAAUAUCUCAAAAGGGCUAAAACUCGAACUCAACUUCCUUUUCUUCUCGAAUCUUAUAACGCCCUUCAUAGGCAAAACCCGAAGCAAAACCUGCUCUCCAACCAUAUAGGAAACAUCACGAACCUUCCGGUCCGCGUAAAUCUUCUGUUUGGACUGGGCUGUAUGGAGCCUAUCCUGAAUCACCUUAACCUUCUCCAAAGCAUCCUAAACUAGGUCCGCGCCCAAUAAUCUAGCCUCACCCAGCUCAAACCAACCCACCAGGGAUCUACACCGUCCCCAUAUAAAGCCUCAUACGAUGCCAUCUGAAUGCUGGACUGAUAGUCGUUGUUGUAAGCAAACUCUGCCAAUGGCAAAAAUUGAUCCAAAGACCCUCCAAACUUAAUCACACAUGGACGUAGCAUAUCCUCAAGAAUCUAGAUAGUGCGUUCGGACUGCUCGUCCGUCUGAGGGUAAAAUUCUGUACUCAACUCCACCCGAGUACCCAACUCAUGCUGAACGGCCCUCCAGAACCGUAAUGUAAACUAAGUACCCCUAUCUAAGAUGAUGGACACUGGAGUACCAUGCAAAUGAACAAUCUACCAGAUAUAAAUCUCUGCCAACCGCUACGAAGAAUAAGUAGUGCACACAGGAAUAAAAUGAGCGGACUUGGUCAGCCGAUCCACAAUCACCCAAAUAGCAUCAAACUUUCUCAAAUUCUGUGGGAGCCCAACUGCAAAGUCCAUGGUGAUCCGCUCCCACUUCCAUUCUAGAAUCUCUAUCUGCUGGAGAAACCCAUUCGGUCUCUGGUGCUCAUACUUCACCUGCUAACAGUUGAGGCACCGAGCUACAAAUUCAACUAUAUCCUUCUUCAUCCGCCUCCACUAGUAAUGCUGCCUCAAAUCUUGAUACAUCUUCACGGCACCUGGAUGAAUGGAAUAUCGUGAGCUAUGGGCCUCCUCCAGAAUCAACUGCCGAAGACCCUCAACAUUGGGUACACAAAUCUGACCAUGCAUCCUCAAUACCUCAUCAUCACCAAUAGUCACAUCUCUAGCAUCAUCGUGCUGGACAUUGUCCUUGAGGACAAGCAAAUGAGGGUCAUCAUACUGCCGCUCCCUGAUACAAUCAAAUAACGAAGACCGAGAAACCAUGCAAGCUAGAACCCGACAGGGCUCCGAAAGAUCCAAUCUCGCAAACUAGCUGGAUAAGUCCUGAACAUCCAUUGACAUAGGCUUCUUCGAUGCUUGUAAAUAAGCCAAACUCUCUGCCCGGCGACUCAAAGCAUCGGCCACCAUAUUGGCCUUUCCCGGGUGAUACAAAAUAGUGAUACCAUAGUCCUUUAGCAACUCCAACCACCUUCUUUGGCACAAAUUUAGAUUCUUUUGCUUGAACAAGUGCUGCAAGCUCCGAUGGUCAGUAUAAAUCUCACAGGGAACACCGUAUAAGUAAUGGCGCCAAAUCUUCAGGGCGUGAACAAUGGCAGCUAACUCAAGGUCGUGAACAGGGUAGUUCUUCUCAUGUAUCUUCAACUGUCUGGAUACGUAGGCAAUCACCCUACCAUCCUACAUCAACACCGCUCCGAGGCCAACCCUCUACGCAUCACAAUAGACCGUAUAAGACCCCGAACCUGUAGGCAGUAUCAAAAUUGGGGUUGUGGUCAAAGUUGUCUUGAGCUUCUGAAAGCUCGCCUCACACUCCUCUGUCCACUGAAAUGGAGCAACCUUCUAGGUCAACUUGGUCAUAGGGGUUGCAAUCGAUGAAAACCCAUCCACAAAACGACGGUAGUAGCCAGCCAAAUCAAGGAAAUUGUGGAUCUCGAUAGCUGAGGAUGGUCUGAGCCAACUCUGCAUGGCCUCUAUCUUCUUCGCAUCCACCUGAAUACCCUCACUCGAUACCACAUAGCCUAAAAUGCCAAUGAAUCCAACCAAAACUCACAUUUCGAGAAUUUAGCAUAUAACUUCGUCUUUCUCAAAGUCUGAAGCACAGUCCUCAGGUGCUGCUCAUGACCUUCCCGACUCCGGGAAUACACCAGAAUAUCAUCAAUAAAGACAAUGACGAACGCAUCAUGAUAUGGCCGGAACACACUGUGCAUCAAACGCAUAAAGGCUGCUAGGGCAUUGAUCAGCCCAAAUUACAUAACAAGGAACUCUUAAUGACCAUACCGAGUCCUGAAAGUAGUCUUCAGGAUAUCUGGCUCCUGAAUCUUCAACUGAUGGUAACCUGAGCGCAAAUCAAUCUUAGAAAACACCCGUGUGCCCUGAACCUGGUCAAACAAAUCAUCAAUACGAGGCAAAGGAUAACGGUUCUUCAUUAUAACCUUGUUCAACUGGCGAUAAUCAAUGCAUAUACGCAUGGAACCAUCCUUUUUCUUCACAAACAAGACAGGAGCACCGCAAGAUGAUACACUAUGCUGUAUAAAACCCUUAUCAAGCAAUUCCUGUAACUAAUCCUUCAACUGAGGAGGAGCCAUACGAUACGGAGGAAUAGAAAUGGGCAGAGUGCCCAGCAACAAAUCAAUGCCAAAAUCAAUAUCUCUAUCAAGCGGCAUCCCUGGAAGAUCAGCUGGAAAAACAUCAGGAAAAUCCCGAACUACUAGAACUGAAUCAACUGAAGGGGUAUCAAUACUGACAUCUCUCACAUAAGCUAAAUACACAUCACACCCCUUCUCAACCAUACGCUGAGCUUUAAGAAGAGAAAUAACUCUACUAGGAGUGUGAUCUAAAGUACCCCUCUAUUAAACAUGCGGUACACCUGGCAUAGCCAAAAUCACAGUUUUGGCGUGACAAUCAAGAAUAGCAUAAUGGGGCUACAACCAGUCCAUGCCCAAGAUAAUAUCAAAAUCAACCAUGCUGAGUAAUAAUAGAUCGGCUCUGGUCUCAAAUCCACUAAGAGCAACCAAACACGGCCGAAAAAUGCGGUCCACAACAAGAGAAUCUCCCAUAUGAGUAGAAACAUAAAUAGUAGAACUCAAGGAAUCCCGAGGUACACCCAAAUGCGGAGCAAAAUAAGAAGACACAUAAGAGUAAGUAGAUCUUGGAUCGAAUAGAACUGAUGCAUCUUUGUGAAAAACCAGUAUAAUACCUGUGAUGACAGAAUCAGAGGCAACAACCUCGGUACGGGAAAAAGGGCAUAGUAUCUGUCCUGGCCUCCCCCUCUAGGGUGACCUCUACCUCCCCAACCUCCACCUCUAGCUAGCUGAACAGGUAGGGUAGCAACUGGCGCUGUAACCAUAGCCUGAGAACUCUGUGUGGUAUGCUGUGGCUGAGAAGUCUUUGGAGGUGCACCCCUCCCAAGUCGGGAGCAAUCCGUUACCAUAAGGCAUAUGUCACCACACUCUAAACAAGAUAUAGGAGGAUGUGGUGGCUGUGACAGGCUCGGUCCAGGUCUGCUGGACUGACCUCUGAAAGCACCCCGCGCAAGAGACACGCUAGAUACCGGCGGUGCAUAAUAAGGCUCCUGUGGUCUAGGAAGAGCUGAAGCACUACUGACUGUGGGAAGAGAUGAAUGAACAUGGUGACUCAUGUAACCUCUACCAUGACGACCUGCAGCUGGCGUGCGGGCAGCAGAAUAAUGGCUCGACUCUCAUGACAUUUUGGCCUCCCUCUCCUCUCUCUCUCUAGCAUGCAUACUCUCGAUCCUCCUAGCAAUGCUCACCACCUACUAAUAAGAAAUAUCCAUCUCCAACUCACGAGCCAUGCUAUAUUUGAUACUGGGAAUAAGGCCAUCAAUAAACCGGCAAACCCUCUCGCGGACAGUAGAAACCAUGGCUGGCGCAUGCCUAGGUAAACUGGUGUAACGGACAGCAUACAUUGAGACAGUCAUAGCGCCCUGGCGCAAAUGCUCAAACUUUUCUUAGGAACAUAUCUGAAAAUUGAGUCCAAGUCAGUGAAGCAGCCUCAUCUGGACUAUCUAGCUCAUAGGUGCGCCACCACUCAAAGGCGACUCCUCGAAACUGGAAGGUAGUGAAAGAAACCCCACUCGAUCCUGAGAUACCCAUGGUAUGGAGAAUGCAGUAACACUCAUCAAGAAAUUCCAGAGCAUCCUCUGACGCUAGACCACUAAAUACAGGGGGUUUGUACUUCUUGAACCUCUCAAUCCUCAACUACUCAUCCUCGGAAGCCACUGCCUUGUCCUAGGGCUGAACUGGCACUGCAGGCGGCACAGGAAUAAUCUCAGGGACCUGUUCAACAUGCACUCGCUGCUCAAAAGUGCGGGCGGCGGGAGUCUUUGCUCCUCCCUCGGCCUAAGACUAGCUACAGCAAGGGGAAGAAACCCUGCCUGAGUCAAGGUGGUGUACAUGCUCAUGAACUAUGCCAAAGUCUCCUGUAAAGCUGGAGUGGUAGUAGCAGUAGGCAUGUCAAAUGCCUGGACUCUGACAACAACCGCUGGUGGUACCUCAGCGGCAACUCGCGUAGGUGCUCUGGCUGCACCAUGUGCGCAUCCUCGGCCUCUACCCCUGCCCCGGCCUCUGACGGCUGCAGUAGGGGGCGCGGGUGCCUAAUCAUCUCGAGUAGCACGAGUCCUCACCAUCUGUGAGAGAAUAGAAGAUAGAAGUUUAGAAUUAUGAAAUCAAAAUAUCGCAUGACAAGGAAAUCAAAUGAAGUGGAAAUUUUUCUAACAGUUACAUAUCCUCUCGUAGAUAAGUACAAACGUCUCCGUACCGAUCAGCAAGACUCUAAUAAACUGGCUUGUGAUCUGUGACUCCUAUGAACCUAGAGCUCUAAUACCAACUUUUCACGACCCCGGUUCGCCCUCCGUGACCAUCGUGAUGGCACCUAGUCUCUACGACUACGUAAGCCUAAACUUGCAGAAGAUAACCAAAACUUGCGGAAGUAAAACAAUUUAAGAACAGAAAUAAGGCAAUAAUAGUGUUAAAUGUGCUGCCCAGCAUACACCAUAUUUAUAUAGAUCUCAAAACCAAUAUCUAAAUCCAAGACCCGGAAACCCAUGAAUCACAAGCUAAGAAAAUGAAAUACUACAUAGCUCUAACUCUAGAAUUUGUCUAAUAAGAACAGAAAGUAUAGAAGGGCUAAAUACUAAAAGGCAUGAAUAGAAAAGGACUCCUCAGUUUGCUUACGCGGUAGAUGUACCUCAAAGUCUCUAAGUAGUCGCCUCCCUCAAGGAUGGUAGGCCUGAGCAGAAGUACCUAGAUCUGCACAUGAAAAACAUGCACAGAAGGGGCAUGAGUACACCACAGCGGUACUCAGUAAGUGCCAAGCCUGACCUUGAUCGGGUAGUGACGAGGAAGGUCAGGGCCCUACUGAGGUUAAAUACAAUAUAAGGGUUAACAGUGUGGAAUAAACAGUAUAGAUAAGUGCAACAGCAAGAAAUAACAUAGAAUUGACAGAACUACAACAACUAGAACAGAGACAAAACAAACCACGGAAAGAAAUACAACUCAACACAAAGAUAACAAUUGGGGCACCUUCCAAGAUACCGUCUUGUAGUCCCAAUUACAACUGUCCAGUGGAUAUCAUGGGAUACCGUCCUGUAGUCCAUCAUAUAUAUGUCCGAAGGAUCUCCCGGGAUUUCGUCCCCUAGUCCAACUAUCAAUGCGCCGGGAUCUACCGGAAUCCCGAUCCGUAGUCCCAAAUGUAAAUACCCGGUACUGGGGGAAUCUACCGGGUGAAUUCCAGUAGUUCCAUAUAGCUGUGCAGGGGGAUCUACUGGAAAUCUAACCCGUAGUCCCAAUGUAAACAGACAAGGGGGAGCUACCGGAAUCCCACAUCCGUAGACCCAAGAUAAAUAUGCAACAGCAGUAGGAAGAUAUACAGAAAUGGCGAAAAUUCAUAUUAAGGCAAUAAGUGAUUCUAGCCUAGCAUGCUGCACAGAAUUCAAGUAAGGCAGGUUGAAUCAAAUAAAACAAUUAAGUCACUUAGAUAUGUUUUUCUAAGCUAACAACAGGCUGAAUAGUGCAAGUAAUAGAUAUAGGAAAGGAAACAUACUAGUAAUUACUUUAAGAAAACUAGAUUUCCAACAAUUAGCAUAAGUACGCACUCGUCACCUCACGUACAAGGCAUUUCAAUAACCAAACAUACCAAUCCUAAGGGGAAGGUCCUCCACUCAAGGUUAGACAAGCCACUUACGUCGAACCGACUAAAAAAUCAACCAACACCACGUCUUUACCACGAAUACCCGACUCCAAAUGGCCCAAAUUUAUUAAAUUCAAUUGCAUAAUGUAAAUAACACUUUACGUAACUGAUUCUACAAUUAAAUUCUAAGCUAAUACUCGAAAUUAUGUAAAAUGACCACAAUGCCCCUCGGGCCCACGUCUUCGAAUCGGGUGAAAUUUACAUUUGUAGAAACCUUGUAUUCUCACGAGUCUAUACAUAACAAGUUAUGAAGUCAAGGAUGUUACCUCCAAGUAAUUCCCCUUUGUUUUCCUUACAAAUCUCUCUUAAAAGCUUCAAACCCGGAUGAAAAUGGUGAAAGGAUCCCUCAAAUUCGCGAACGCAACUAUUUAUAUGUUCUGCCCAUCGAUUUUCCGCAUUUGCGGCCCUGGAACCGCAUCUGCGGUCCCGCUUCUGUGGAACAAGUGUCGCAUCUACGACUUUCACAUAAGGACCCAGCUUUCGCAUCUGCGGAACUCUAACCGCAGGAGCGGUUCCGCUUCCGCCGACAUCUCACCGCAUCUACGGUUCCUGUAGGAAAUCCUAAAUUUCGCUUCUGCGGUCCUCGUCGCUGCUUCUGCGCCACCGCAUUUGCGGUCCCCAAACCGCAGAUGCGAUAAUACCAGAAGAACAACUGCUGCAACAGCUUCAACUUCCAAAUUUCCUCUAUUAACCAUCCGAAUUCAUCCCGAGGCCCUCGGGACCUCAACCAAAGGCAUCAACAUAUCCUAAAACCUUAUUCAAACUUGUACAAAUCUUCAAAACACUUCAAACAACCAAAACACAUCGGAUUCAAGCCUAAGUUUCUAAAAUCUUCCGAAUUCUGCUUUCGAUCAAAACCCAACCAAAACACGUUCGAAUGACAUAAAAUUUUGCACACACAUCCCAAAUGAUAUAACGAAACUACUAAAACUAUCGGAAUUCCAUUCUGACCCUCGGAUCAAAAUCUUACUAUCUAACCGGAAACUUCCAAAAUUCAACUUUCGGCAUUUCAAGCCUAAAUUAGCUACGGACCUCCAAAACACAAUCCGAACACUCUCCUAACCCCAAAAUCACCCAACGGAGCUAACGGAACCAUCAAAUAUCUAUUCCGAGACCGUCUUCACACUGUUCCGACUAAGGUCAACUUUCUAACACUUAAGCUCUCAUUUAGGGACUAAGUGUCCCAAAACUCCCCGAAACUCAAUACCGAACGUCCCGGCAAAUCACAUUAACAAAAAUAAACUUGGGGAAAAUAGUUAAUAGGGGAUCGGGGCAUAAAUUCUUAAGACGACCGGCCGGGUCAUCACAGCUAACAUUGUGCCAGUUCUGAAGAAGGAUGGGAAGGUCAGAGUAUGUGUUAAAUAUCAGGAUUUAAACAGAGCAAGUCCCAAAGAUGAUUUUCCACUGCCAAAUAUACACAUCAUGAUCGAUAACCGCGCCGAGCAUGAACUUCAAUCCUUUGUAGAUAGCUUCGCGGGUUAUCACCAUAUUUGGAUGGAUGAAGAAGAUGGAGAGAAUACAACUUUUAUUACACCAUGGGGUGUAUAUUGUUACAAGAUGAUGUUAUUCGGUUUGAAGAAUGAUGGGGCCACCUACAUGAGAGCCAUGACAACCAUCUUCCAUGAUAUGAUACACAAGAAAAUAGAGGUGUAUGUAGACGAUGAUCGCAGAUCACAUAGCAGACUUGAGGAAGUUCUUCGACAGGCUAAGAAGGCACAAUUUGAAAUUUAACCCCGCAAAGUGUGCAUUCGGGGUUCCCACAGGGAAGUUACUGGGAUUCAUUGUCAGUCAUCGAGGGAUCAAAGUGGAUCCGUCUAAAGUCAAAGCUAUUCAGGAGUUACCACCACCUAAGAGCAAAAAGGAUAUGAUGGGCUUCCUAGGACGUCUCAACUAUAUCAGUCGCUUCAUAGCACAAUCCACAUUCAUAUGUGAACCCAUCUUCAAGAUGCUAAGAAAGGAUGCUGAAACAAGCUAGACCGAGGAUUGCCAAAAAGCUUUUGACAAGAUCAAGGAGUACAUGUCCAUACCACCAGUCCUGGUCCCGCCAGAACGAGGAUGACCUUUGCUACUUUAUCUAUCUAUAUUGGAUACAACCUUCGAAUAUGUUUUGGGACAACAUGAUGAGAUAGGAAGAAAGGAGCAAGCCAUAUAUUACUUGAGUAAGAAGUUCACACCUUAUAAAGCACGGUAUUCUCUGCUUGAACACACUUGCUAUGCUCUGACCAGGACAGCCCAAAAAUUGAGGCAUUACUUCUGUGCCUACACUACAUACCUCAGAUCCAGGAUGGAUCCUCUAAAGUACAUAUUUCAAAAACCCAUGUCUACUAGGAAGUUGGCUAAAUGGCAGAUACUGCUAAGUGAGUUCGAUAUCGUCUAUAUAACUCAAAAGGCGGUCAAGGGACAAGCAUUGACAGAUCAUCUUGCUGAGAAUCCGGUAAGAGGAGCAUACGAGCCUUUGAAAACAUAUUUUCCUGAUGAAGAAGUGUAGUUCGUAGAAGAAGACGUUAUCGAAGCAUACGAUGGUUGGAGGAUGUUCUUUGAUGGAGUUGCAAAUUUAAAAGGAGUGGGCAUUAGAGCAGUCUUGAUAUCAGAAGCAGGUCAACAUUAUUCGGUAUCUUCCAAACUAAGAUUUCCUUGCACCAACAACAUGGUAGAAUAUGAAGCCUGCAUACUAGGUCUCAACAUGGCAGUCGACAUGAACAUCCAGGAGUUGCUGGUAAUCGGUUAUUUAGAUUUUCUUGUGCACCAGGUACAAGAAGAAUGGGCCACCAAGAAUUCCAAGAUAUUGCCAUAUCUGCACCAUGCGCAGGAAUUGAUAAAGAGGCUUACAAAGAUAGAAUUCUGACAUAUGCGUAGAAUUCAGAAUGAGUUUGCCGACGCAUUGGCCAUUUUGUCAUCCAUGAUACAACAUCCAGAUAAGAACUACAUUGAUCCCAUUCCGGUGAGGAUCCAUAAUCAGCCGGCAUAUUGUGCUCAUUCUGGUGAGGAUCCAUAAGAACUACAUUGAUCCCAUUCCGGUGAGGAUCCAUAAUCAGCUGGCAUAUUGUGCUCAUUCUGAGGAAGAAGCAGAUGGAAAGCGUUGGUUCCAUGACAUCAAGGAGUACUUAUCGAAAGGAGAAUACCCGGAGCAUGCAAAUCACAUACUGAAACGCACACUCCAUAGAUUGUCAAACCACUUCUUCAACAGCGGAGGAAACUUGUACAGAAGAACUCCUGAUUUGGGUUUAGUAAGAUGUGUCGACGCAAAGGAAGCUUCUAAGCUACUUGAGGAUGUGCAUGUUGGGACCUGUGGUCCACACAUGAAUGGUUUCGUCUUGGCUAAGAAGAUACUCAGAGCAGGUUACUUUUGGAUGACCAUGGAGACAGAUUGCAUUCAGUAUGUCCGCAAAUUCUUUCAAUGUCAAGUGCAUGCCGACAUGAUAAAAGUGCCGCUAAAUGAGCUCAAUGCAACAAGCUCACCUUAGCCAUUCACCACCUGGGGAAUGGAUGUUAUUGGUCCUAUUGAGCCCACAACUUCAAACAGACACGGGUUUAUUCUGGUAGCAAUUGAUUACUUCACAAAAUGGGUAGAGGCUGCAUCUUAAAAAGCUGUGACAAAGUAAUUCGUCGCAGAUUUUGUCAAGGAUCGUAUUGUCUGCCAAUUUGGAGAUCCCGAGUCCAUUAUUACUAAUAACGCCGCCAAACUCAAUAGUGAUCUGAUGAAAGCUAUGUGUGAAACUUUCAAAAUAAAGCACAAGAAUUCAAUAGCCUAUUGACCUUAGAUGAAUGGAGCCGUAGAAGCUACCAACAGAAACAUCAAGAAGAUACUAAAGAAAAUGGUAGAGAACUAUAAACAAUGGUACGAAAAGUUACCCUUUGCUCUAUUGGGGUACUGCACCACGGUUCGCACAUCAACCGGAGCAACUCCCUACAUGUUGGUUUAUGGUACACAGGUUGUCAUCCCAGUCGAGGUGUAGAUUCCUUCUUUAAGAGUCAUACAAGAAGCUAACCUCAGCGAUGCGGAGUGGAUAAGGAGUUGCUAUGAACAAUUGGCCCUUAUCAAUGGAAAGAGGAGGAACACAGUGUGUCACGGCCAACUUUAUUAGAACAGAAUGUUUAGAGGUUUCAACAAAAGAGUCAAACCAAGACAGUUUGCACAAGGGCAGCUGGUAUUGAAUAAAAUCUUCCCACAUCAAGAUGAGGCCAAAGGAAAAUUCUCUCCCAACUGGCAAGGUCCAUACAUGGUUCACAGAGUACUAAAAGGAGGAGCACUCAUACUUGCAGAAAUAGACGGUGAAGUCUGGCCAAAGUCGAUCAAUUCAGACACAGUCAAGAGAUACUAUGCUUAGAUACUUUACAUUUCCUCAUUUGAUGUAAUUGAACUACGCUUUACCUGAUUUCCGUUUAAGAGGGGAUACGUAGGCAGCCUUAUGGGUUCGGUCAUAUCAUAAUAAAAUUUUCAUUUCCCCCGAGAGCGGAAACUGGGGAAGAAUUUUGAGGAGGACCCUCAAAAUUCCGGAGCAAGUCCAGUCAACACCAACAUGUGUCAGACGAUCAGCAAUUAGUUAAGAAACAGGGGCAGAAUUUUGAGAAGGUUUCUCAAAAUUCUGAAGAAGGAUCAACAAAAUCCAUUAUCCGUAAACAGCUGAAGGAUCAUCUACUAAACUGGAGCAGAAUUUUGAAGAGGGCCCUCAAAAUUCCCACAUAAGAGAGUUGCAAUGUCUUUGAGAUGUGUUACAGUCACUAGUUCAUCUAUUUUUUCUGAAAUAACUCUAUUUUUAUCAACAAUUGCAUAUUUUUCAAAAAACUCUAUUUCCAUAACAGUCAGGUGUUACCUAGGGAACUGGAAAAGGGCUUUUAGAACGAAGCAUAGCAAGGCCAGCGGACGAAGCACGAACCAACCUCCCCUCACAAAACUUACAAUUAUUCUUUGAAUGCAGGCAUAUUUGACGUAACAGUAGCAUUCGCAAAGCAUGUAUACACAAAGAUAAUUCACUAUCAAUUAGGCGAUCAGACAUCGAAUACAUCUCCAGCUAAGACAUAUGCUACUUUUACUUACUAUUUGCUCUCUGCAUGAGGCUAAUCCUUGACUCCAUAUUUGCAUGAGGCUAAUCCCUGCCUCCAUACUUUCUUGAGGCUAAUCCUUGCCUCCAUACCUGCAUGAGUCUAAUCCUUGACUCCCUAUCUGCAUGAGGCUAAUCCUUGCCUCCAUACUUGCAUGAGGCUAAUCCUUGCCUCCAUAUUUGCAUAAGUCUAAUCCUUGACUCUAUAUUUGCAUGAAGCUAAUCCUUGCCUCCAUAUUUGCAUGAGGCUAAUCCCUACCUCAACAUUUGCAUGAGGCUAAUCCCUGCCUCCACAUUUGCAUGAGGCUAAUCCCUGUCUCCAUACUUGCAUGAGACUAAUCCCUGCCUUCAUAUUUGCAUGAGUCUAAUCCUUGAUUCCCUAUCUGCAUGAGGCUAAUCCUUGCCUCCCUAAUUGCAUAAGUCUAAUCCUUGACUCCAUACUUGCAUGAGGCUAAUCCUUGCCUCCAUACCUGCAUGAGGCUAAUCCCUUCCUCCCUACUUGCACGAGACUAACAUUGUCCAUCUUUGCAUAGAUAUUGCUCUAUUUUACUAGCUAUUUGCUUUCCAAUUCACAAAACUAAUCAUUGUCUUGAUGACAUCAUGACUAUUGCAUAUCAUGGGCUGAAAUAUCGCCAACCUAUCCAAAGGCGUCAUAGUAUAAAAGGCAUCAUCCUUAUAGCCGAAAGAUACCAUGCCAUGGCCUAAGGAUCUCUCAAAUUUGCAUAUCAUUAUUCGAAAGCGUCAUGGUUCGUAGGCACCAUCUUCAUGGCCCGAGAAAAUAAUUUCAUGGCACGUGAAUCCCUCACUAAAUAAUUCAUGGUCCAGGACGUCAUGGUCUGAGGACGUCAUCUUUAACCGUCCGAAGACAACCUUCAUGGUCCAAAGGGAAUUUGCAUCAUGUUUAAAUUUUUCGCAAGUGCAAGUUAUAACAUCUUUUAUCUGCAGGUAACGGGCAAGCAACCGCCAUCCUAGCAGGAGCGAUCUUGCUCAAGUUCCCUCCAACCGUCGCGAACUUUAACUGCUCAGCAUAGCCACUUCGGCAUCGCAUGUCCGUUCUUGUAAUAAUUUCAUCGGCAUAUUCCACAGAUGAACUCAAAACUAAACAUGGCCUGAUUCUUGUAAAACCAGGGAUAUGUAGGCAGUUUGACGACCAGAGUCUGGCCUCUAUCUUUCAAAGCAUCUCGUCCGGUCAAAAUUGGCCAUCAUUUCUUUACCAAAAAACUCUUUCAUCCUUCCCAGGGAAAGAGGGGUAGUUGUUGAUACCCAAUUUUUCCUUAUAUAUUUUUAAUAUGCAUAAAUACCUUCAAAAUAGCAUAUAUAAGCAUGCACAAGAUUUUUAUAAUUUUUCCCAUAAUUUUAAGGAUUUAAAUUGAUUUAUUUUCUUCCCUUUUAUUCAUAAAAUCCCCAAUAAUUAUUCCUCAAAUUAUUGUUGUGGUGAUUUAGUCAUUUAAUUUCUAUAUUUAUGUGAAAGUAGGGUUAAAAUAUUUUUUAUGCAUUUUAUAAUUGCAUUUUGUAUUUUUAAAGCCAAAUUGCAUAUAAUUGCAACAUUAGCUCCAUUAAUAUAUAAAUAUAUUUCUAUGCGUAAAAUUGAUCUUCUAUAUAUUUAAAAUAUUAAAUAUCUAUUUUAUAUCAUUUUAGUACAUGAAAUUAUGUUUUAGAAAUUAUUUAUCAUUAAUUAUAAAUUAUAUAGGGAAAAUUGGUUAUUUAAAAUAUAGCCAGAUUUGCAUUUCAAUUGUAGCCCAAUUUAAACCCAAACCCAGCCCAAUUUCAGAUUAAAAAUACCCAACCCAAGCCCUGAACCCACCUACCUGACCCAAAGCCAUAUUAAAUCUUGGCCGUUGAUCUAAAAGAUCAAUGGCCCUCGUCUGUUCUUACCAUUUUUAAUUCCAACGACCCCUAACCCUUGCUCAUUAUUCAGAUACUGCCGCCUCUGUAUUCUCUCAUAUCCUCUCUUCUCUCAACCACUCAACCUAACCCUAGCUCCUUCAACUGUCAACCUUCUUCUGCGGUCUUCUCCGGUGAUCUCCCUUCAACUCCUAAGCCUUCAAUGGCUCCUCUAAUACUAUGCUUGCCUUCUCUAAGGUCUUCAAGGGCCCUGGACCAUGCCGACUUGCAUAUAAGGUUUUCUAUUUGUCUGUUCUUGGCUACUUCAGUGUGAUUUCAAGCAAAAUCAUGAUAUAUUUGUUACGAUUCUUGGGAUUCUAGACAUGUUCUUUCAUCUCUAUUUGGGUUUCUUCUGAAACCCUAAUUUCUGCGUACAACUUCUAGAUCUGUACAAUUUUAAAAUGAUUUGAGUUUGCCUCUUUAGUAUUUUUAAUUGAUUCCCUUAACUUAAGGUAGUACUUGUCCUGAUUUUGCUCUAAUUGGUUCUGAGUUCCAUAAUCGUUAUGCUACUAUGAUUCUUGCCUUAUUUUACCUAAUUUUCAAACUACUAUAUAUACACACUCUCUCAUUAAUACAAACACAUGAACACUUUGGUUCAAAAGCUCUUUCUCUCACACUUAAACUUUCUGCUCUCUCUCUCUUUUGUGCUACUUGCUACUAUUCCGAGUUAACCGGCUGCAAGCCAAAGCUAACUAUUGUGCUCUCCUACUCUUUCACUCUUGCUUAUUGUCUUCCUUACUGGUAUGUUCUAAUUUCAGUUCAUGUUCCAAAAACAAUAUGGUUCUUUUAUUACUUUAGUUCAUCAUGUUUCUAGUUUGCUUUUACUUAUGGUUUUGUUAUGAAACAUGUAGUUAAUAUGAUUACCUGAUUAGCAUGUCAUGUACUCCCCUUCUUUAUGAUUAGUGUAAACAUGUUACCCACUCUCUGUCUAAUCAAUUGUUUCCGAGCAUGUCUGUACCAAUUACCUCUGCCUGUUAUGUGUUUACCAUCAUGUGUUCCAUGUAUCCUCAAUCUCUAUCACCCCUGUAUGUACGUUUGUUCCUUUUGUUUGGUUCUGUUCUCUUUAAGUAUUGAUGAUGUGGUUUUGGACUUCAUGUUUGAUUUACUACUGUCUAAUCAUGCAACUCUCUUUUCAAAAAUGGAUUACUGCACGACUCCCUUUUUUACUCCGCAAACUAUUUCAAAAAAAACCUCCUCUUUAUAAUGUUUUCCUGUAGUAACCUUUCAACUUGUGUCAAGCACUUUUACUCUACUCCUAAGUCAAUAAGUUCUGCCCCCUCCAGUAUGUGUACUGCCUUGGGAUCCUCUUGAGAACCCUCUUAACUCUGGCAUACUGAGGUUGGCCCUUCCACACUGCACUUAAAUUUGGUUACCAAGUCUAGGUGUAAGUACUGUCCGGGAUCCUUGAGAUCCUUAGGGAACUUUGAUGCACCCAGAUUAUGACAUUGUCUAUGGAAUUAAGACAUUUGAGGCUAUUGGAGGUUUGGAAACCUAGGCAUAUCUGUAGGCUCCAUAUACAAUAACUUCUUAUUUUCUUAUUUACUUAUGUAAUUCAUUCAUAUGGUCUGUAAUAACUUGUAAACGAAUAUUGGGGUAAUUAGUGAAAAGGGUGGGUAGCUACAUGUUUGUGGGGUAAUAUGGGUAGAAAACAUGCAUAUAGGACUUUUACAUCUUGUCAUGUUUGUCUUACCAUGUUAGAAAUCAUGCUUAUAGGUUUCAAGUGAUUCCAUAAUAGAAAUCAUGUUUAUAAGGCUUAAAAUCAGCUUCACAAGUAGAUGUCAUGCCUAUAGGAUAUAAUCCAAAUCCGACUUCUGCUAUAACAAGUGUUUAUUUGUGUUUUCGUUUGUCAUAAUGCCUGCAAGUCUUUAAAAUCUGUAUUAAACAAGUAGAUAUCAUGCAUAUAAGGAAUAACACCAGAAAUUCUGCUUAUAGAUAUAAACUAGUUUGGUUUUAAAUAAAUUAAUCCGAUUAACGAUUAGCUCACUUCUAAACUGGUUUAAUUAAUGGUCUAUUUUCCUGAAGCGAGUUCUUUCAAAAAUUGCCUCAGUUUAUCAUGAGACAGCAUGUCUAUAGGGAUUAAAGAGUCCGUUUCAAAACCUGCCUUAUUUCACUAUAUAAAAUGUAGUCAUCAGUAUUCCGUGUAUAGGCAAGCCCGUAGGGCGUUUUCAAAACUUGCAAUUCUAAAACUAUUUUUGUCACUUAAUGUUGUUCUGGUUUAAACAAGCUUUAAAAUCAGUAGGCAAGUGAUAGGGUCAUUACUUCUGAGUUUAUAAAACAAACUGCCUAUUUUCUGUACAUUCACUUAGACAUCAUGCCUUAGGAUACUGUUUAACAAAAAGGCCUUUAUUUGUGUUUGAGUCGUGCUGUUUACAUGGCUUUUCUGUGGAGGUAAAUUGAGCCUCUUAUUUGCUCCUUCCUGUUCUUGUUUGAUAAGAGUCUUAUGUGUUAUUGCUUGUCGCCUUAGUAUUUUCACCUUUAAAACCUUAGGGGUCUGUCUAGAACCACCUAUAGGUAGAGGUCCUAAAUCCCUCCAGGACCAUUAAGAAGGGACAGGUGAGAGCACACAAUAGAGAUUGCUGACCAAACACUUGCUUUAAAUGACCACUAAGGGGAUGAGAAUGGUAGAUAUGGGAUAUGAUGGCUAUGUGCUAAUGUCACGUGUAGCCCCUCAUUGAGAAGUGUUUACCGAACAUUGUGUGCGGUGAUCCUAUAGGCUAACCAACCUAGGACUUUCCCUUUUCCGAAAUUCCUUUUGUUUAAGACUUUGUUUUAUACAACUUGUCCAAAAACUUCUGUCUUAUUAUUUGAGUUAUACAAACUUGCCUUAUUUGUAAUUAUUUGUUUCAAGUAUUUGGACUAAUUCGUGACUAUAAGUUCGGUCGGGACCCACAGUUGUGGACCAAGAGGGGUACUUAACACCUUCCCCUCGAGGUCAUUUCGAUCCCUUAACCUAAUCUCUGGUAAUGCAAACCAAUCCAAGAGUUAAUCACUCUAGAAGCCCUAACGCACCAUAAUCUGUUAGGUGGCUACUCUUCAAAUACCCAAUUCCCAAAAGGAAAGGAGUUCUCCACGGAGGUAAAAAAGGGGGCGCGACACCUAGUUGAUGACAGUAUAGCCCAAUUCUAGCAUAACUUGAUGCCAACAUAGGGUCACCACUCCCAAGUUGAUGCCAACAUAGGGUCUCCACUCCCUAGUUGAUGCCAGCGUAACCUAAUGCCAGCAUAACCUGAUGCCAACAUAGGGUCACCACUCCCUAGUUGAUGCCAAAAUAGGGUCUCCACUCUCUAGUUGAANNNNNNNNNNNNNNNNNNNNUUGAAGCCAGCAUAACUUGAUGCCAACAUAGGGUCUCCACACCCUAGUUGAUGCCAACAUAGGGUCUCGACUCCCUAGUUAAUGCUAGCAUAACCUGAUGCUAACAUAGGGUCACCACUCCCUAGUUGAUGAUUUUCCAACAAUAGGGUCUCCAAUCCCUAGUUUAUUCCAUUUUAGAUAUAGGGUAUCCACUCCUUAAUCUCUUUUUCCCAAGGAUACACAAUCCUGAUUUUAUUGCUUUCAAUAAUGAAGUAGUAUAGUGUUUUGGUUACAAAUAACUCGCGAAUUUUUCUAGUGAAAACUGGGGCAGAAAAAUUCCGUUCGUUUGUUUGUUUUAGUGUCUAAGCAGGUUAUACCUCGAGGCAUAGGAUUUGAGAUGACCAAAAGAAGAAGUCUCAAUCCAAAAUAAAAGAAAAAGAAGAAAAAGAAAAAGAAGUGGACUCAAAUUGCAGAAGCCACAAGACAUGAUUGAAGCCACAAGCUCUGCAUGUCCCGUGUUGAUCCAAAAACCUGAAGAGGAAUGAACCUAGCACUUCCAGCUAACAAGCGUCAAGAUUCAGAUCAGAGUCUGCAUGAAGAACCAGCCAAGACUCAAGAUCAAGCUUCAGAAGGCUUAUAGAUAGGAAUCUUGUAACUCGUAGCUGAUAGGCUUAGAUAAUUUAGUUUUUUUAUUUUGAUUUUUGUGUAAUAAGGAGCUCAGCAAGCAGUAACAGCAGCAACAACAGUGAAAUCAUAGCUAUUCGGUAGUUUCAACUACCAAAACUUCCAGAACUGCACUGACCUAAUUCCAUUAUAGUCAAGAAUAUGUAGGCAACCUCCGAAACAAGGUUCGGUCAGACUUUUUCAAAAAAAAAUGCUUCCCAUUUAGUUUCAAACAGGCAAAAAUUGCUCGUAAUUGCUCACUUUAUCUUUGCCCGAAAACUCUUCAUGUUUCGAGCAAAGAGGGGCAGCUGUGAGCACCAAAAUUUUGCCCUGCAUGGAAAUACCUCCUAAAAAAAUCAAAAAUAAUUUUAAUAGAUUUUAGGAGUUUUUGUUUAUUUACUUGCAUUUCAUGCAUGUUUAAUAUUUUAAAAUCAUAAGAAAAAUCAUAAAAAUUGUCACAUUUUAAUUUCAUGUCAUGUUAGGUUUAAUUUGCAUUUUUUAGGAAUUAGUCACUCUUUAAUUGUUAGAAUUAAUACAUAAAGAUCAAACAAAGUAUUUUUUAGAUUACAUGCAUUUGUUAAUAGAUAAAUAGAAUUAUUUUUGCUAAAUUAGAUUUAAAUAUAGGUUUUAAUUUAAGAUUUAAUUUGUUAGAAUUUAAAAUUAAAAGAAAAAAAUAAAGAUAAAGAAGUAGAUUUGGUCUGUCAAUUUCAUCUGGGUCAGCUUAAUUUGAACCCCAAAAAUCCCAAAUUAUCCAAGCCCAUACCAUCCCAGUCCACUACCCAAAUACCCAUUUCCCUUUAUUAAAACUCUAUCUCCUACACUCUAAAAAAAUCACACAUUAGAAACCUAAUAAAAAAAACUCUUCUAACCAAAAAUGUCGUUCCACCCUCACCCAUCUUCUUCUUCUUCCUCACUUCUAACCUAAAAACACAAAAAAAAAAAAUCAGGACCCUAAUCUCUAUCCUGGCAACGGCGCAGACCCCCCCCCCCCCUUCUUCUCCAUCCCUCGUCACCCUCACUCACUAAUCAAUCACACACACACGCCUGGACUACUGAGAGAAGAAGUUUGCACUUCAAAGUUUAAAAUCUAGAAAACUUAAAGAAAUAAAAAAAAAGGAGAUUAAAAGGCUGUUCGAAUUUUUCUUCUUAGCUUGAUCGUUUCUGGCUUUCGAAGGCUUUUUUUUUAAGUUAUAAGUUUGCUGGUUUGUUAAUGUUUCCGAUGCUGGAUCUCACUCUUUAUUCCAGACCUUGCUUGGUCAUUUAGUGUUGUUUUUACAUCUUCUAGGUAUUUAAAUUCUCACCCAUUCUCCUCUACUUGAGUCUAUGGUUUAAAUUUUGGAUUACUCAUAUUGGGUUUGUGGUUGCUUACUCAGAGUUUGAUUAUGUUAAUUGGUUAUGGAUUGAAUAUAUUUGAAUGUUUAGCAUACCUAUUAAAUUGUGGUAUUGUAAAUUGUCCUCUUCUGCUACGCCAAUUGAUUGAUAUUGCCUCAUAUAAUGCUUAGAUCUAAUUUGUCGUUUAUGCACAAUUACUGUACGUUCAUUGUUAGUUUGAAUGAAGAUUGUUAAUUCCAAA
This 64257-nucleotide long non-coding RNA is filed under the name Nicotiana tabacum (common tobacco). RNAcentral's name for it is "long non-coding RNA (NTAB_LNC001375)". The record is from RNAcentral. Lineage: Eukaryota; Viridiplantae; Streptophyta; Magnoliopsida; Solanales; Solanaceae.